RNAcentral lists this long non-coding RNA (76340 nucleotides) under Cucumis sativus (cucumber). RNAcentral describes it as "long non-coding RNA (CSAT_LNC002136)". Lineage: Eukaryota; Viridiplantae; Streptophyta; Magnoliopsida; Cucurbitales; Cucurbitaceae. The record is from RNAcentral.
AGAAAUGUAAAUGUGUGAAUUAGGGUUUACGAAGGUUUGGCAAUAAAUGAAGAAGACGAAGUGCUGCAGAGCCGAAAAAAGCCCGAGGCCGAGCGCUUCCCUCUUGAGUUAGGGGUGGCGUGGUAUUCCACAGGGAGAGGUUUUUUCAAAUUGUGGCGCACUCUCAGUUGCGUUGGGCUUAAUAUUAUCACUUUCCAGUGAGGGCUUCCAUGGCCGCUUUACUGCUCUAGCUUUUGCAGUCAAAGCGAGGGGUUUCGCCCUACAUUCAAAUUCUUCUUUUUCCCUUUUUCUUUUUCCAAAUUUCUUUGUUCUUAUCUUUCAUCAUUCGCUUUCUUAUUGUAAUUUUGACCACUUGCUCAUGAAUUCAUUUUUUAAUUAUGUUUUUUUUGGGUAGAAUGUAUAUUUUGUUUUUAUUAAUCGGCGGAGUAUGAUAAAUUGAAAUUGGCAUUUAUAUAUUUAUAUGUUUUCGGGUUUUCAUUCAGAUGAUGAGAACGAUGCAGGAAAGUUAAAACCACGUUUUUCAAAAAAGAAAAAAAAUAAUUGAUCAAUUGCAUCCGACGGGUAUUUUUUUUGCAUUCAACUUGUCUGAAAAUUUCAAAUAAAUGUAUGUAUAUCUCUAGAAGCUUCUUCUUUUCUGCUUCCUUUACGCUUGUUUUUUUGUUGUCGGGUUUGCAAAUGGUCAAUCUGAGCUCCGUUGUGGACGCAGGUCUUGGAACUGCUGCUGCUAAAGUGUGGUUGUUAUGUACGUCUAUCAUCUGACUAUUGCACAGGAUAAUGCUCGGAUCACUUAUCUGGAAUUAAGAACAGAAGUUUUUUCAAUUGUUGAUUGAUCAGAUAAAUGAAAAGAGUUUUUUUAAGUGGGGUUGGACUUAGAAUCUCCCCCUUAUUUUUACCUUUCUCAAACCUGGAUUUUCGAGCCACUCGUCGGAUAUGACUUUCAUUUCUUUGAAGGAGUUCGUCUAUUCUAUGGGGUUGUGUUAACAGCGGUCCUGAGAAUUCAAUGUGUGAUUCUGUAUCAUCGUUUUCCUGUUCAUUUAUGGGAGAACAAUAUCAAUUGGACUAGUCUAGAAAAGAAGUUAUUGUUGUGUAAGUGAGUGGAGGGAUGCUUACGAGGUUUGCUGCGGUGUUGGAUGGUGGUUUUGGAUAUAGUUCAUUGGACAUAUCCAAGAAUGGGUAUGCUUCGGAUGCAUCAAAAGACUCGGGGAAAUUGUGUUUUCUUCUAUGGUUCUUUCGUAAUUCGUAUUCCUGCGUGCCUGAACUGACUGGAAUGUGUGUGUGUCCAUUCUGUUUUUUUGUUAAUUCAAAGGUGUAAUUUGCAAAGGAUGGAUCCAGAGAACUUAUUUGGCUCUUAAGACCAUCUGAUACUGUAGAUGUAGCUUCCUCUUUUCGCUUCUUUACCCAAGCAAAGCCACUAGAUGCUGAGACUGGUAUUGGGGCUGUGAAUGCGCUAUCUCCUCGCUGAUUUGGUGCUGUUGCAGCCUGGGAUUCUGAUGUUGUAUCAAAUAGUUGCUUCUGAGGAUCUCUUUGGAAAACGUCACCUUGUUCUUUGCAAAGAUUGGCAGUACUGCUGCCAUUCCGUCGAGAAGGUUGAAUGUUUUCUUCUGCUUCCUGUGGAGGGAAGAUUUCCAUAAAAGUUGGUAAUAGUUUUUGAAAGGAGAGUAAUGUGGUAAGGAAGAAUGGGUUAAGAAGGAGAAACCUCUUUGAUUGGCACUUUAUGACUGUUCAAUUCUUGGAAAUUCCUUCUAACUCUUCUAGGCCUUUGUGUGACCCCUGACUCUUUUACUCUUGCAUUAGCCCUCUUCCUGCAGGUAUUCGAUAGGUAUAGUUCUUCAGAAUAUAUCGAAGAAACUGGAUUUUGCAGCCAAGUUGGAGAAAAAGAGAGUGAAAGUUUCACCUUCGCGCAUCUUCACGAUUUUUGGCAUCCAUUUCUUUAUUUGGUGGAUACUUGGGCAAGGUAGAUGGAUCACAAGCAUAUGGCUUCGUUUUGAAAUACUGGAAAGGAAGGCAAAUCAUUAACCCAAAAACAUUUGAGACUUUGAGUUAUAGUUGUCAGGAUAGCAAUCAUGUUUGAGAGUAAGUCGAAAUGUUCUCAAUCAAAAGUGAUUUACUUAUAAUUUCCAUUCUUCUAAAAUAAGUUUUGUUAAAAAUUUGGGGAGACUCAAACUAAGCUAGAUGGUUUGUUCCACUUUUUAAAGUAGACAUGAGUUUAUUCAACUGUAUCCGACCCAUAAGCUACGCGGACAUGCCUGACGGAUUACAAUGUUAUUUUUUUCAAAUGCUAAAUUAUCAUGAUUGUUAUAAACAGUGACAGAACACUUUGGUAUUUGUGAAGUUGAAUAUGAAGGGGCAAGAGCUACCUCAGACAUGAGAGCAGAUGAGGCUGUUCCACGCUUGUAAGGUUCUAUGGCAAGAAAAGAUUCUAAUAGGCUCAAUGCGGUUGGUGCAAAUUCUUUACACUUUUCACUAAGAGAACUUUCAUAUGCAUGUUGGGGUUUGAACAUAGCUGCAUGAGGAAGCUUUGUUUUUUUCCAGAACUCUUCAGGUGGGGAGCCGCAAAGUUUGAAUAUUUUGUGCAAUUGUUCAACCUGUUUCGUUUUUUUCCAUUCGUGUCAGAUCAAACACUAAGCAACAAUCAAUAAGACAAAGGCUUCUAUUGGAAACCCCCAUCAAUAUUACCUCGGUUCUUCCUUUAAGAAGUGGUUUCCCCAGGUGCAAUUCUGCAAAUACACAUCCUAUACUCCAGAGGUCCACUGUUAAUCCGUAAUCUGUUGAACCCAUCAGAAGCUCAGGUGGGCGGUACCAUAAUGUCACCACUCGACUUGUUAGCGCUUGCUUGUUUCUCGAGUUUAUGACAUUUGCUAAUCCAAAAUCUGCUAACUUCAGAACUCCUUCAUUGUUUACCAAAAUAUUGGAUGCCUUAAUGUCUCUAUGCAUUAUACCCCGAAGGUGGCAAUGCUCAAUUGCAGAUAGCAGCUGUCUCAUAUAACACUUUAUCUGAAAAAGAGAACACAAUAGUUUCUUACAUAUAUAAAAACCACAGACCCAAUGGAAGAGGAAAUGAGAUUGUUUUUUUAUUAACACUUUGCCAACGCUAUUGAUUGUGCACGUUAAAUCAGUGGAUGAAAUACCAACCUGUGCCUCACUGAACUUGAUAUUAGGAGAAGACACUAGCCCUGCAAGAUCGUGAUCCAUGUAUUCAAAUACAAGGUAAAUGCUGCUAGACAUUUUUGAAGUAAUUAUUCCUUCUAACUGCAUGAUGUUUGGAUGUUCAAGCCGGCGCAAAAUCAUAAUUUCCCUUGCCAUAAAUCUAAUGCUCUCCGGUUGAAAAUUGUCAAAACGAACCUUCUUCAAGGCAACCAUCUUUCCUGACUCAACUUCUCGAGCACGAAACACACUGCUGUAUGUUCCUUGGCCAAUCUAAUUCAAAAACAAAAUUGUUUGAUCUUUCUGAGUAAUGUGUACAUAGAUGCACAUCAAACAUUCAAGAGGAUGAUGCAUUACACAGGCCAUUGCCAAUAACAAGAUUUAUAGACCUUCAGAACAUACAAAGAACAGAACUUGAUCUAAUGCUCCAAGAGACAUGUUUGGGGUUCGAUUAAUUCAAAUAUUGGGGCAGAAAACUUGAACAUAUUCAUCUAAGAUAGCAUUUGCUAAAUGCUGUCUUCACCGAAUGUGUUGUUCUAAGUUCUUGUAACUCAAAGCCAUAUAUGAAUGUCAUAAAGACCAUUUUAACAACUGCACAGAAAGACUCUUAACGCAAUGUGGUUGGUUAAUCACUCUGUUUUUCAUAUGAACCUGCGUUAGAUUAUUAGAAUCAAUCUCUUGGGAGUAGGCCCUUCUUUGUAGUUUUUUAAGGUAAUGUUCUAUUUAUUCUAGAAGGAAUGAGAUGGUUCAUUAAUGAUAUAUCUUAAUGAUAGAUCGGAUUGAACUUUAAUUGAAUCAAAGCUCUGAUUGUAUUUCUUUUUUUCGUCAGGACAAACGAAGAAAUCACGAGUGUCAUAAUUCGUACCUUCUCCAACUUCUCGAAGGAAUCAGCUCGAAGAGGAACCCAUCCAUGUACGGCCUCACCGGCAGCACUACUAAGCCAAGAGGGCCAGCCGGCGGCAACCUGCUCAGCUUCAACGUAGCGUUGCGAAAACCCUAAUCUGAAAGAACCCCCCUUCCCUCCUUUAGAUUUCUUAAUAUCUCGACUUCGAUCCUCCGAUAUGUCCUCCCCUUUCUUCUCAUAAUCAAGCGUCGUCACCGAAUGAGCUUUGGAUGAAGGCGGCAGGGUCACAACAGAACCAUUCUCGGCGGCAACGGUGGCGGUUGUAGUGGUGGUCGGUUUAUUGGGCUUUGUCCGAUGAUGAUGAUGGUUAUAAACGGGUGAUGCCGCCGCCUUUGCUACGUUCUUGGAGCUAAUGCAACCCAUGAACCACCAAAGUCCGACAGCAUCGAUCGGAGAAACGACACAAGGGCGAUCAAGAUCAACCCUGAUCAAUGGGCUGCUCAGCACAAAGGGGAAGAGAGGGAGAUCGAACCCCCCCUACAUCCAACGGCAACUCAACAGGGUUUGCUGGAUUAUUUGAGGAUGGAAAAAAAGAAGGGAAAAUGGAUUGAACCCAUCGGAAAUAAGAGCCAUUUUUGGGUUAACUUGUUGGUUGGCAACACAAUGACCUCGUGUUCUUCAUACUGCGAGAUCUGCAGUAUGAAGAAUUGGCCAAAUAGUUUCUUUCUUUUGUGAGAAACGGUCCGAAAGCAGAGGAACGAAAAGAAAGAGAAACAUUGUGGGUCCUAACUGCCUUCUUCUUCCUUUUCUCUGCUUUUUUUGUAAUCUAUACCGUUUUUAAUUUCAUCUUUUCUUUUUCUUUCUUUCUAUUUUAUCUUUGCUUUCCCUUCAUUUCACUGAUUCCGCCAUUAGAGCACUGUACCAGAACCUUUGAGUGUCAGUUCCUUCGGGAAAUUUUGUAGCAAUAACAACCCUCAAAAGUUUAUAUCUUUCACAAUUAGCACUUUGGAAAUCCUUUGAAAUUGUUCUGAUCUUUUCUGGUUUAGAUUUUAAUGAAGGAUUAGUUUUUCUCAGUGUUAUUAUUCAUGGUUUUGGGUUCUCACAAACGAUCAAAAGUUUUCGUACCAUCUUUUUUACUUUGGAAAAUUUGUUGGGUAAUUUUUUCGAUCUUUUCUGGUUGAGAUUUAAAUAUAAAAAAAAUUCUCCAUUUCAUCUCGCAUUCAAACUAUCAAUAUUUUUACGCUUUCUCGGUGAAAUCUUAUUGGGAUAAGAACUCCACCAAGAAAACCAAUCGAUAUCAGAUGAAAAUCUUAGUUCUUUUUUUUAUUGAAUUCUUGAGAGUUGGUCUACAAAUAAUCAAGAAUAAGUAUUUCAAUGAUUUUUUAUUAAAAAAAAGACACUAUUUUAAAGUCACUUCUACAAUUUUCUUAACUCCAAUCAAUCAAAAGUUUAGUCUUUCACUAAUUUCCCAUGUGGGGUUUUGUAUUUGGAACAGAAAAAGAAAAGAGCAUGAUAUCCAAAGACAAAACUCUUCUUUCGGCUCAUCAUUUCUCUCUUCUUUUUCCUUUCUCUCUUUGCUUUUUUCCUCAUUAGUUUCACUCAUUCCUCUCUUUUCAUUCUUCACUUAAUCAUUACAAUCAUCCCUUAUUCCUACAUUUUACUUUCUUUCAACUAUCUUUCUCAUUGCUUUCACAACCAUUGCUUACAUUUUUGUUGAAUAUGAAUAUGCUUUAGGUUAAAAACCAUGAGAGCAUUCUGGAAAGUAUUAUAGUUGAUUGUUUGGAAGGUAGAUUGUUUUAGUAUUCCACUGUUUUUAUUUUGAUAAGAAAAAAUAAAUAGUAAAAAUUAUAGUAAAGGAAGGUUUUGAAACGUGUUGAUGAUAGCUAAUUGAAAUUUUUUUAAAUCUUUACUAUAGUGAUGUAUGGCUGUUAUAGUCUUAAGAUAGUUUGUAUAUGUAUACAUGUUUAUUAUAUAUUCACUCCAAAUUCUAUUUUUAAAAGAAAGAAAUUGAAAUUGUUGCAAGCAAUGAGUUGUGUGUGUUAGUGAGUGGUUGUGAUAUCAAGUCAUGUUGGAGAUCAAUCUCAAUCAUUCAAUGGACCAAACUAAACAUACUAAGGAUUGCUAACACUACACAUCCAUGCAUAAAAUCUCUUAAAUGUAUUCUUGUCCCCCUUAUCUCAUACUUAAAGUUGAAUUUAUUACGACUUUAAUCAUUCAAUCUUUAUGUUUUUGUCUAAUGAGUCCACUUCGAUGAAUAAAUAUAAAUAAUUAUUUCAUGUUUGAAACUUCUAUUUCUGUGUCUAGUAAGUCUGAAUUUUAGAACUAUUCAGUAAAUCUUUCGUUUUUGAUUCUAUGUUUAACAAACGGAAAAUAAGUCUGAAUUUUAGAACUAUUCAGUAAAUCUUUCGUUUUUGAUUCUAUGUUUAACAAACGGAAAAUAACUCGCUCAUUUAUUGCAUCGAAAUUAAAAUUUGUGUAUUAAAAUAUUAACUUUCAAUUACAUGUAUAAGCCAAAAAUAUGUUAAAAACUAAAAUAGUCUAAAAAUUUAUUAGACAUUUUUUAAGUUUUAGAACGGAUGAAAUAUCGACAAAGUUCAAAUUUUAUUAUCCUUUCAAAACUUAUUAAGCUUUUAAAAAGACUACGAGUUCAUCUAUUAAUGAUUUCAUUUCGGUUUUUGAAAAUCAAGUUUCUAGCUCUACUUUCCCUUAUCGAUGCAUAUAUUUUGCAUUUUACUUUCUAACAAUAUUGUAAAAAAGCUAGCGUGGUUUGAAAUCUAGAAAAAAGAAAUAGUUUUUUAAAACUAUUUUUUUUUCAACUUAUAACUCGAAUGUUUACAAGUAAAGUGAAUGAUGGUAAGGAAAUCAGAAAGAAAACAAUUAUAAACUUAAAAAACAAGUAACUAAAAAAAGAUGGUUACUAAACCUAAUCUAAACUCGUAAUUUAAGCUAGCUUGAACUAUGUAUCGAAUAGGCAAUGCUUUUAUACAUAGGACGUUCACUUUUAGAAGGAGGUAUACAUUAUCAUGUCAAAUACUUCAUCAUCAAAGUCUCUUCAAUCUAAUACUAAUUAUUUGUUUUAGUACAAUAAUUGACUACAUAGUGGUGGAUCAAACAUUCAACCUUUUUGUAGAAAUAUUUUGUCGAUUACCGUUGAGAUAAAAUACUUUUUUUUUUCUUUUACGAAAUAAGAUAUCACAUUGAUUCUUGAGUUGAAGGGGUCUUAAUGUUUGGUGAAAGAGAUCAAUCUAUCUAUAGUAAUACAACCAUACUACUUCUUAAGAAGACAUUUUGUAACAUAAACAUUUGGCAAAUGACAUGCAUAAUUUACAAACAAAUCAUAAUUAUCUUUAAGAAUAAGAUCCAUUCUUUCUUUCUUUUUCUUUCUUUUUCUUUCUAGAAAAAAAAUUCUAAAAGUAUCCUUUGGGUGAGACUAUAAAGAUUUAAUUUUGAUAGAAACAAUCAAUAUAGGUAAAAAGAAUGAAGUUGAAACAUUUAAAAUAAUAAGAUCAAUUUGGAGGAAAAACAAACGUCUAAUUUGGUAACUGUUUUAUUUUUUUGUUUUCUUUUUCUUUUCCUAUACUAUACUUAUUUCGUUUAAAUUUCUUACGAUCAUCAUCUUAUUUAAGUAUAAGAUAUAUAUUCUUAGUCAAAUUAAAAAAAAUAAAAGUUAGCUUUCAAAAUUUUUAUAACAUUAUUAAAAAAGUUAGUUGCAAAUAUAACAAUUAUAUUUUUUUUUUGGAUAUAUAGCAAAAUCCGUAAAAGUCUAUUAAUGAUAUAAAUCUAUAGUUGAUAAAACUGAUAGACCAUAAGAGUUUAUCAGUGAUAGAAGUCUAUCAUCGAUAGAUUUUACUAUAUUUGCAAGUUUUUAAAAAUGUUAUACUUAAUUAUUAUACCUAAAAUUGUCACCAAUUGUAAUUACUCUUUGUGAAAGGUAGAUGAAAAAACCAACAAACAAACUCGUUUUUCUUUCUUUGAAAUCAGUUAAGAAUUCGACUAUUCUUCUUUAAAAAAUACAAAGUAAUAUAAAAAUGGAAAAAAAAAAAAAGUCUUUAACUUACAAACAUAGAAAAUAAAAACCAAAAACCAAAAUGAUUACAAAACAAAGUAUUCUAAUUGAUUUAUUAAACAAAGUCUACAAAAUAGAGAUUAAAGUAAAUAUUUAGGUUACUAGUAGGGAUCUUAGAUCACUUAAUAUUGAUAAAAAUUCGAAGACCAAGAAAGAAGCAGACAAAUAUUCAAAAAAUAAAAGCAGAGAAGAUGGCAAACUCUCCUUUGUUGUUUUUAUUAGUAUUAUUGUUUGAAAUAAUGUGCUUAUUGUAAGUAAUCCACCAACCUAUCUAACUAUACUUUGUUGGUUUGGAGUGGAAAAUUGUUAGACCCCUUUGAUGGAAGGUUGUUUUCUUUACAAGCAAACUUCCAAAUUUUGAUAAGACACCAAGAUAGUGGGUCCUUAAUUCAUUACUUACAAACUAAUGAGCUUUACAAAUCAAUAGCUAAUUUGUUCCUAAUGUAUAGUUAGUUAUAAUUAAAUUAGAAACCCGAUCUAUAACACGGGGCAUUACAGACUUGCCUCCUUUAAAGACUUUCGUCCCGACUAAAAACUAGGUAACGUUAAGAUUUGCAGGGUGUAAGGUGGAUUGAUGAAAAAUAUCCAAAGUAGAACAGACAAGGCAACCAUUCUCAAGCAAAUCAGGUACUCUUUCUGAUGUAAAGAUUGGAAAAGGAAAUAAUAACAGAAAAAUGUGAUGAUGAAACAUAAAGUAAGAAGCAAAAUGUAACAAUGGCCCACUUUAAAUCCAACUUUUUUUUCAUUGUCUUUUCACAAACAAAUGCAGAGAUGUAUAUAGCAUAGCAUCUUCCCAAUGGAACUGUGUCAACUACCCAUCUUGAUCAAUGAUAAUAAUAAAAAAAAAAACAAUAUAAAGAUUGUCAACUUUAUACACACAACUACAAUUUGUACAGUUCAUAUUUUGGUAUAAACUGAAUGAACAACUACAAAAUAAUGAGAUUAUACAGUACAUAACAAUGUCUAGUUUGAAUUUUUUUGAAAGUCACACUACACAACAGGUUUCUAAGAUUAUAGGGAAGGUUACCCCACUUCCUCUACUUUGUAGAAUGCAGUUUAUAUUAUACUCUUCACCUCAGCUGCAAUGGUGAAAUGGGCUCAGGAAGCAGAGAUAUAAACAAGUAAUAACAUUAUUUGUGAUCACAUAAUAUCAGUAUGACUGACCUCCUUGUAUCUCCCUUAGCAUCAGCAUGAUUGAAAAUAGUUUUGGGAUGUAAAUUGUAGAAGGCAUAAGGCAAAUGGAGCUCUUUUGACUCAAAACACAAACAUAGACUAUAAGAUUUGAAUUCUAUGUGACUGGCAGGUUUUUUUUUUUUUCCUUUUCUGUAACCGGUUAGUCAUUUGAAAUGAAACUACUGACCUUCUGGUUGCACGAAAGAUAUUGUUGUAGUACUUUACACAGUGAUUUGUUCUUCUUUAAGCUGCAAAACGGCAGGUCUCUGGUCAUUAGUUCCAAAUUCCAUCUCUUUAAGUAAUGGAUGUUUCUGAGCUACAACUUUGAGUGGUUUGAUAUGGUGGACAGUGUUGUUGACAGUGUGGUGGCUGCUGUUUCUGGCUGCAGGAACAUCAUGGUUAUGUUUCCCUUCGUACGUAGUUACAACAGCUUUCGAGUCUGUUGAAGACCUCUCAACAUGCUUUCGGACAUUGCACCCAGCACUAGUGCAUUUGUAGUAGCUCCUGUUGAUAGGAAUGUGUCAGAAGAAGUGAGCAUCCUAGUUGCCAUAAGCUUUGGAUUAUGUGUACAAUGAUUUAACACAGAUGACUUCACCUCAUAAAUCUUUAGGCUGAUUUAACACUUAUAGAAAAAAGAAGAGAAUGUAAAAGAAGAAUUGUUUUAGAGAACAUGAGAUGGUCAAAACUCCAAACCAAAUGUCGAUCCUAAAUUCUAACUAUCAUAGCAACAAAAUCACACAGUGGGAGAUGAAAUCGACUUGGAUGUAUUCUGUAGCCAUACUGAAACGUCACCACCAUUUCCCAAUAUUUUACAAUCAAAAGGAGGCCAUAAUCUCAAAACCCAACAUUGUAAAACCCAAAUUCAAAACUAAAAUGCACUAUUCAAAGAAUAAUAAAGUUCUGUUGUCUCCAUAUUUUUCUAGAAUGAAUCUAAGUAUUCAUUCUCCUAUUGAAUGAAAUAAAAUAUUUGCCUAAUUGACAGAACAAAAAGUAAACAAGCUGGAGUACAGGAGAGUCAGCUGACAAAGAUAGCUCAAAAUAAUAAUAAAGCUGGAGUAUAGGAGAGUUCAAUAUUCUUGAAAAGGACAACCUUUUCUUUUUUAAUCAGGGAAAGAAAAAUAAUAAUAAAAGAUAAAAAAAAUAAAAAAAGAAGGAAGUCAAACUUUGAGGGAAAGAAUCAAGUAAUUACAAGUUACAGCAAAGACAUCUUCCAUUUGUCAAUAAACAUUAUCUAUGACCUAAAGGAAUCUGAGCCAUGGGCGUGUAAAAUACAAACUCAAUGCAUGUUCAUGAAUGCAACCAAUGGUAGCCCAACCAGUUAUUCAGGUCAACUGCAGGCCAUUCCAGUAGCUUAAAAUUUGACACCAGGUCUAACUUCUAUCUUCGUUAUAGUAAUCAUAAUUCAUCAAAUUGAAAAAAAAGAAGUCAUAGAAAAAUGAUGACCCGAGGAUCACUUUUUACCUUUAAAAAUAUCAAGAUCACAGAUUUUAAAAUCUUAAAAGCUCAGACAGAAAAAGGAUAGCAUGCUUAUCAUAGGGAAUGAUAACGAUUCCAGGGUAAUGAUAUGGCAAGGCGUAAGCUUAUGCCUAGAAUAAAAAAGAAGUUAAAGUAACUACCUAGGGUUAGGAUUUCCUUUAACCACUUUCUGCCCAUACUUGCGCCACCUAUAACCGUCAUCUAACAGGUCAACCUCACUUCUUGUUUGGACAAUGAUUUUUGGUUCUGUGAGUGUUUUAUGUGACAAGGCAACUCCAGAUGUCCCUGCGUCAAUGUUCCUGCACUCAUGAAGCAAAGCCACAAAGGUUCAGUUUUUUCCUUUUUAUUCUUUUUCCCUACAACCAAAGCAAGACAACAUAUUAAAAUUAAAAAAUUCCACACAUACUGCCGCUUUGGAUUUGGCUCAUCUUCAUCUCUGUCAUCCGUUAUCUCUGUAUCAGCUCGUCCUUCACUGUCACUAGACCCUAAUUGCACAUUUUCACUUGACUUGUUCAAAAUUCCAGCUUGGUUUUGCAAGCCACAUUCAGGCUUAAUCAAUGAAUUUGUACAUCCAGCCGGCUCAAUAUUAUCUCUUGCACGUUUGUUGGCUGGAGGAGGUUCAUGGUUGUGCUGGCCUUUGUAAAUAAUUUCAGUAAUUUGACCAUCAGGUGAGCGCUCAAUCUUCUUUUUUACGGGACAAUUCAAAUGAGUGCAUUUGUAAUAGCUUCGUGGAAAUUCACUGCCCUUAACCAACUUCUGCCCAUAUUUACGCCAGUUAUAGCCAUCAUCUGCAGGUUUAUCAGAGCCAUGGGGGGGAGGAGGAGGUUGAUAUUUUCUAUCAGAAUGAGAAACUUCUGUCGAUUCUGCAAUCAGACUUUUUGUGUCUGAUGUGGAGGGUAUUAUGGCCAGUUGAGAUGCAUCAUCGAGAGAAAAUGAUGGAUCACGCACUAGCGGUUCUGUAGGAGCUGGUACUGAAGAAUGUUGGUAUUCAGCUUGCUGCAUAUGCAUAUGGGAAUUUGCCAAUGCUGCUUGAGCAGUAACUUGAGCCAAUGCCUGCUGAUGCGACAUUCCAAAUGGACUCUACAGAAAUCAACAAAUCAAUAGGAGGCAUACAAGUCACUACCCAUGUUGAAAUUUCAACAAAGUUUCAGGAUGCAAAUAUGAUUAUCGUUUGUAUGACACAUUAUACAAGAUACUACUAUAACUAGAAGGUUAAAUCAUGGAUUUGAUUGCAAGACUUUCAAAGUUGUGGCUACUGAUCCAUAUAUAUUGAAAAGUUUCAAAAAAAUUAAACAAUCUAAAGAAAUUCUAAAUUUUCAAUUAUGUAUCUAAUAGGUCCUCUCCUUGCAAUUAACCAAACCUAACCAAAAUCAGCUUGCUAUAUAUAUACAUAUGAUGAUGGUUUCAAUUUCAUUUUCCCUUUAAAUUUAUGCUUGUUUUCAUUUUUCUUAAAAACACAUUGAAUUUCAUAUUAAAAAGAAUCUUAGCAUCAAAAGUAAAACAAAAUUUAAAAAACUAUAUUUUGAAGUUUUCAAAAAUUGUCUUAGAUUUUGAAUAUGUUUUUAAGGUAGAAAACAAAACAAAGAAAGACACGAGUGGAAGAAGUGUUUAUAAAUUUGAUUUUUAAAAACAGAAAACCAAAAACAAAAUAGCUAUCAAAUGGGGCUUAAAUAAUAUACAAUCAAUGUGUCAUAUUGAUAGUCAUAAACCACCAAAGUUAAUGCAUCAUUCUAUUAGACACAUAAUUGGAAGUAUUGGUCGCUAUUAGAAACUCAUUGAAGUUGAGCGACUAGAUAAACAUAACUUUGAAGGUUUAAAGACCUAUUAGAGAUUUUUAAGAAGAACAAAUAUUAAAUAGACACAAACCUCGAAAGUUGUAUCAGGAGAUUGUUAAAUCAACAUUGUGAAGGUAAAUAUAUGAAAGUUCAAAUUUUGUCUUAGUUUCUUAUCGUUUGUCUGUUCAAAUUCCCAAAAUCCCCAAAGUUAUGAUACGUUCAUUUCAAAUAUUCAAAUGUUAUCCAAACAUGUUCAACAUCAAAAAGUUUUGCCGCAAAUUUCGGCAAUUUCAUUUCUACGAAAAGAGAACCAAAAAAUCUCACCGUAAAAAAUGAAAAAAAAAACAAUUUCAACAAACAAUCUAAAACUCAAAAACCAUUCUCAACAAGAAGAAUUGGAUAAACCCCUUUCAGAAAAAGAACUUAAUUUCGAAAACAGAACACAAAAACUCUCAUUUCUCCAAUGAUUAACCAAAACCCAUUUCAUAAAACCAAAUUUCUACCAUCAAAAUCAUGAAUACAUAAAAGAAAGUAGCUUACCCAAAAAAUUCAAAGCAAAAGAAAAGGAAAUCUCAGAGCAACAGAACAAAAACAAAAACCCCUCUAAGUCAAAAUUGGGAGUUGGAAUUUUACCUGAGGAGGAUAAAACCCCGGCGAAUUAAGCAACCCAGAAGGACUAAGCCCCGGAGGAACCGAGAACAGAGGAGAACGAGCUACCACUAAAUUCACCGGCUUCGAUUGUUUCAUCCCAAAUUCCAAUUCCGAGGCGGGUCCAUCCUUGGCGUAAUAAUUGGGAGUAGACCCAGUUCCGAAAAACCCCAUAGCCAUCGGAGAAGCCAUAGCUCCAGCGAGAAGCUGGGAGAAGGAAGGAGAGUCAACGGCACCGUCGGCGAAGUAACUUGAAAGAAGAGUCAUAGGACCAGGGCUAACCCCAGUAGGACCGCCGGUGAAAAAAGCCUCCAUAGAAGGACGAGGCGGGAGAGUAAUAGUGGGGCGUUGAAGUGGAGGUCUUGUUGCAGAAUCGUCCUUCUUAGCCAUUGAAGAACUUCUUCAAAAGAAAAAUGGAUUUCUCUCUCUCUCUAUCUCUCUCUUACAAAGUUCCGUAUUUGGGGCUUUCGUUUUUGGCUUUCUCAAUAUUUCGUGCUAUCUUCUUCCUCUUCAUCUUCACUAUAAACUCCACGUAACCUCCAAUUCACCAUUCUUUUUAUUUACUUUCCUUUUACCUUCUCAAAAUUUUUACCUUUUUUCUUUAAAUAAAAACACUUUUCUCCUCCAAAAUCCUUAAGAUUGAAAACAAUUCUUUCUAUUAAGAUCUAAACAAAGAGCAAUAAUCAAGAAUUAAUGUUAACACACACAACCACAUUUGAUCUAACCCUUUAACACAUAUUAGUUAUAUUCACAUCUUCUAACUUUUACUUAUCGUAUAAAAUCUAACCAAAUAACUCUAAAGUUAGUGAGUGCCCUAAUAGUUAUGUGAAAACUCACCGAUGAUCGACAAAAAAAUCAUAUCCUAAAUUUUUUUAUACGAGCUAUUUCAUUUUAGUGAUCUUUGUUUUCAUAUUUACUUUCUCGUUCAACCUUUACAAUCACUAUUUUACCAAUAUAGUGCGUAUGGAUUGUUAUUAGUUUUUUCUUUAUCAUUAAUCCAUUAUUUCACUAUGCUGAUCAACUCGAGAUAUUGUAGUCUAAUAUAGCAAAAUUUUAUUUUUGAUGAACUCAAAUAUAAUAGACAUUUAUUAUUGAUAAAUUUUCAUAUACUAUUUAUCAUCGAUCUAUCAAUUAUAAAAAUGAAAUUUUGCAAUAUUUUUUAAACACUCUCAACCGUCUUAUAGUUUAAAACAACUUUCUUUGUUCGAAAAAAUAUGGUUCUAUAAAUUUACUUCAUUGCUCCUCUUUUUACUUGGAAACUUUAUUAUUCAUUACCUUGAUCUAAUUUCUUAGCUAAUUUAAAUUUUCGAUGGUCAACCUUUUAUUUUUGUUAUUGACACAUUAUUUUAAAUGAAUGUCAACUAUUUGCCUCUUACCAUAUUAUAACAUGACAACAUCAAUAAUGUUUAAGUAUUUAAUAUUUAACUAUAACCAAUUAAGUUAAACUAAUCUUUUUUAAAAAAUAAUAAUAAUAAAUUAAACUAGUGAAAUAAAUAAAUAUGAAAAUUCAAUCACAAAUUUAUCUUUAUAUUGCAAAUAUUAAACCAAUUUGUUUGAUCCCUAAAAGGAAGAGAACAUAAUUAUCUUUUAUUUCUUUCCUUCACAACCAUUUUAUUUUAUAUUUCUCUUUUUUUAUUAAUUAAAUUUCAAUAAGUUAACAAUAUUUCACAUAGUGAAGAAUUUGAUGUUUCCAAUUUUAUUGUUUUCUUUUAACUUUUUUAUUACCGUACAGUGAGUGAAUUUUUUCCGAUAAGAUGUUGAGAUCGGGAGACUCAUACUUGGAGAGAGCUAGAAAAGCCUAAGUCACAUUAAAGAGUCACAUUUAGAGGAUAGCCUAAGUUAUUGCUCACUAUAUCCUCAUACUUAGAGAGAACUUAAGUUUCAUUGAAAGAGAGUCUCAGAUUUGGGAGGAUCCGAAGUGAUAAAUCAAGAAAUCUAGCUAGAGAUGAUGUCCACACAAUAAUGUUGUUAUGAAAAUGAAAGGGUGAAUUUCUAAUAUACAUUUCAACAUUCAUAAUAUAUUACAAAACUAUACGUAAGACUAAGUUUGAUUUAAGAUGGUUACAUUUGUGAAAGAAAGAGUUGUGUGGUAACCAAAUGAUAUAUUUUAACCUAUUGUCAGUAAAAUGUUACCAAAAGUAAAAAAUAAUAAUAAAGAGAACAUAUAUAUAUAUAUGUAAAUUAUUCUCAACCAGAACAUAAAAUAAAUGAAUUAAAAUAUUUGGUGGUUUAAAAGUUAAAUUGACUUUUGUGGGCAUAUAAGGUGUUCAUGAAGACUAAGGGCAUUGAAGAAGAUGUACAACUUGACCUCAACCACACUCUCCUAACCUCUUUUCUUCAUUUAUUCUUCCAUCAUCACUUUUUCCUUUUCAACUUUAAUGCUCUCUCUCUAUAUAUUUUUUAUAUUUUUAUUUUGUUUGAGGACCUCUAGAUAUUUUAUUUUUAUUGGCGGGCUUUUCAAUUACCAUUUAAGUUUUUAGAAGCAUGUGUUGUUAUUUACCUUUUUGUCUCGUAUAUUAGAUGGAUGAGUGUGUUUCGUCGGUUGACCUAGGUGACUCAGACUUAUCUUAUGACGUUUGAAAUGUAAAGGAGUGUAGGAUAGUAUUGGAUGUGUGCUUUAGGAUCAUAAGGGUACAGUGGAGGAGGGAUUGUUUGAAAUUCGUUUUUGGUCUGCUAUUUGUUGAGGUUUCAGUGAUUGAAGUUAGUUUAAGAGGUUAUCGCCUCGCUUUUGCGAUUUUUCGUCAAUGAUGGAGAAUUGGAUAAUGUGAUAACACUUCCCUUGUUGAUAGGAGAGGAAAACGUGGCAACCUUAGUGGAAUACGUGGUAGUGGAAGACACAGUACGAGAAAUCUGGCUUUUAGCAAUGAAAUAAUUUUGUCACUAUAUUUGUUUUUCGUUGCAAAAAACAUUCAAUGACGAAAAAUCUGUCACAUGCAGCCGUCACAAAAGCCUAGUUAGUGAAAGAUUGAGACAUUUAAUAAGAAUCUUAAAACACCAAUGUAAUUUGCUCCGACCGAACAUAAAAAAUAUCAAUAUGCGAUGUUUUUUUGGAGAUGUCACUAAAUUGUUGCUUUGUAAAAGAUAGAGAUUAAUUAUACUAUCACUUUUUUUAGAAUGUUAAAAGUUAAAGAUUAUAGCCUCAAGAAUAUCACAGUUAUGCCACAAUGUACUUAUACACACCUAAUACAUUACACUUCUUAUCGACAGUAAGUAUACAUUGUUAUUGUUAAAAGUUUAUAUUUGAACAAUUGUAAAAAUUUAUAAAUGUUUAUAAUUGAUAAAAUCUAAAAUUUUAUUAUAAUUUAUAAAUAUUUCGACUAGACUUACAAGUAUAACAAAAUCUAUCGGCAAUAAAAUCGGAGAUUAUAGCACUAAAUUUUAUUAGAGAAACAAUUACAAAAUCUAUUCUCAUUUCAUAAAUUUGAAUUAGGACACGUAGGAUUAUGAGUAGAAGUACGUGUCGUGUACGUUGGCAAAGCAAAUUUGAGAAUUAAAAGUUUUAAGAAAUAGAAAUGAGAAUGUGUGGGGCCCCAUGUAACAAAGAAAAGAAGCAUUUCCCAAAUCGAUUCUUUCUUUUGUUACUUUUGAAAAUGAAACCUUAUUUUUCACUUUUCUUCUUUCUUUCUUUCUCCCCUUUGCUUAAACAAACUAACUUUUUAACCCUUUAAGAAUUUCGUGAGAAUCACUUUCAUCCUAUCUCAUAAUAAAAAAAAUACAACACAAAGAGUUCAUUUUAUCAUACGAUAGUGUGUUAUGACAUAAACAAAAUGUUAGAUUUUCAUAAAGAGUUUGUGUUAGCGAUUUCAAAAUUUAAGGUUUGAUUUUUCUAUUUCAUAAAUUAUAAAAGAAAAUUAUUGUUUAGAUCUUUAAAUUUGGAGGGUAAUUUCAGUUUGGUCUCUAAAUUACAAAAUGUUACACGUUCAUUACGUAAAUUGAAUAAGUCCAUAGGUUUCAAAAUGUUAUAGUUGUUUUUCCAUUUAGAUUUAGAUUUGAGUUGUGUUUCAAUAGUGUUCUUGGAUUUUAAGAUUUACACUUUUAGUCCUUAAGUUUGUAAUUUGAUUUCGACGAGUCCAUAAGUUUCAAAAUGUUACAAUCUCACCACUGUGAUUUGAGUUCUAUUUCAAUUUAACCCCUAGCUUUCAUUAUUUACACUUUUAGUUUGGUUUUAACUUAAGUCCAUAAAUUUUAAAAUAGUAUUUUCACUAAAUACUUAUCACUUUUCGUCUUCUAAUUUUAAUUUUAAUAGUUUAAAUUACAAAUUUCUACAACUUGAAAACGAAAUUGAUAUAAAAGUAAUAUAGAAUAAAUUGAAAUAAAACUAAAAUAAUUGAAAGACUAAAAUAAUGUUCUCAAACAAAUUGGUUAAAUAUUCAAAAUGGAAUUUUCUGUCAAACAUAUUAUAUUAGUUAACUCCAUGAAUGUUAAUUAAAACAUAAAAGAGAAUUCAUAUGACCAACCAACAAAGAAGCUUUUGAUUUUCAAUACUUUGUUAGUUUUUCACCAUUAUUGUUUCUGUUACAAUAAUAAUAGUUAAUGAUUAGCAUACAUACCUAUAUAUAUUAACAUAGAACAAAUUGGACAACAUGUCUCUCAUAGUUAUUUCUAGGGCAAUUUUUUUUUCUUUUGAAGAAUUUCUAGGACUUUCUUUUAUAUAUAUAUAUAUAUUGCCCCACCCAUUGAAUCCCUAAAAGGACAUAUAAUAUGUAACAUCAUCAAGUUAAAUAGUCAUUGAUAUUGAUGUUUUAGAAUAGUUUUACAAUUAAUUAAUUAAGCAAUUAAGCAAUCCAAGUGCAAUAGAUGAUUUAAAUUUUGAAUUGAUGAAAUUAAAGAAAAACAAUUUUUUUAAAAAUAGUCAAUGAUAUAUAUAGAUCCAAAAUGUAAGUCAAGCCCACAACUUGUCUACUUGAUUUGUAUUCAUUCAUUUGAGUUCUAUAUAUAAUCUAUCUGUUUUAUUUUAAAUGAGUUGGAAUUUUUACUUUAUUAUUUAUUAUCGGUUUAAAUCUUAACUAAAACAAAUUAAAAAGCCAAUUGGAUGCUUUAAAGAAGAAUUUCGUGCACUUUUUUUUAAGGCUAGAGAGUGAAUACCUUUCUAAAAAAAUUUAAAUUGUAAACCACGAAAAUUUACGCACCGAUCAAUUAAAACAAGGGUUUUUUUAGUAUAAGAUGUUAGAGGUUAAUUUGGAUAAAAGAGUAAAUUGGGUAUUUCUGUACGAAAUUAUAAGUUUAUGAUCAAAACUAAAGGUUCAAUAAACAAAGAUCUCAUAUCCCCCAUUCAAUUUCAUUAUAAGUUGAGGUCGAGCCAAAAGAAAUCUCAAAGUAGCACAAGCUACUUUGGUUAGCCUUAGUCCAAGUCGGAAGCCACCCAAAGAAAUCCAAUAAAUUUCAACUGUAAUAGGGGAUUCUCACGCUAAAAAUGAUUAUUAUAUAAUAAUAAAAAAUACUUAUUAUAUAAAAUUUUAGGUUAAAUUACAAAAUUGAUCCAUAUUAUUUUAAAACGAUAAAUUUGACAACUUUUGUUUUAAUUACAAUUAAUCGCAAUUAUCAAAAAUUAAUAAAUUUAAUUAUACAAAAAUCAUAAAUAACAUUUAUUGAUCUCUCCAUUUUUUUUUUUUUGUUAAGAACUGGAAUCUCUAUUAUAUUAUUUUUAUCUUUCUUUUCAAUCAAAAGAAAGAAGAAGAGAUUUUGUUUUAGAAAAAAGAAAAAAGAAUCCAAUAGUUGGGUUUAGGGUGGUUGGUUGUGAGUUAUAGUUCGUGGGCUCAACUAUGAACCAUGAAGUUGGAAGUUCUUGAUUAGUCAAAACAAAUGAGAUUGUGGAAACACAUAUCAAAUCUCUUCCCUUUUUUUUUUUAACAUUUUAAAACUAAAUAAAAUUAAACUCCAACUCUCUUCUCUUCUUCCAUAUGUUUAUUUAAUCGUACUUUUUUAUGUUAUUAUACACGCUGCUUUCCUACUAAUUAAUCCGAACAUAUUUAUCUCGCAUUAUCUAUCGUUUCUUUAACUAAAAGGAGAAAUAAGUGUUUUGAGAACUAAAGAUUUGUUAUAUUUAUUGAGUAAAUAAAAGUAUAGGAUCUUAAAAUUUCAUUCCAACUUUUAUUCUUCAUAGCUAAAAGGUCAAGUUUUUUACUCUAUUAACGAGGGGAGAAAUCGAACCUCUAAAAUUUGAGAUGAUAUUACAUCAAUAAUAUACCCAUUUUAUUAGUAUAUAGUAUAUUAAUAAUAUAUCCAUAGCAUAAAAAGAAAAUUUUGCAUAUUUACCAAUUAUUCUAUACAACAAAUUUACAAAUAUGGAAAUGGCACCUGUUAUUAUUACCCUAAUAAAUGACCAACAAAACCAAAAUACAUCUAAUCUACUUUUAGUUUUUCCUAAAUGUACAAUUACUUCUAAAAUUAUUAUUUCCAUAAAUUUAACACACUCUUUUUUGUUUACAAUUUAGGACUAUCUCUUUGGGAUUAAAAUUGAAUAAUAAAUAUUAAAGACUUGAAUCUUAUGAUAAAUAACCAAAAAGUUUAAAAGGUUUGAAAGUUGAACUAAGAAAUUGUGACAGAAGGAUUGCAGAAUCUUUUCUUUUUUGUUUUUCUGAAUAAUAUAGUCAUGCUCGAUUGAUUCGCGUAGAAAUUCAAGACCGAUUGUCCUAGUUGAUCCGGAGGUAACAAAAUCGAUAAGUGAGAGUUGAAUAUAGUCACGACUUUAUAAGCAAAAUAUCGAAAUGUCGAAUCUAAAAUCACUUUGCAAUUUUAGUUCACUGUACCAAAAUUGUAUGAAAUAAAAAUGAUCAAGCCAUUAAGAGUUCAAUUUUGAUCAAAGUUAUGACAGUUUUUAGACAAGCAACUCUAAUAGGAAGCAAAAGCAAUACCAUCAUUGGAAAGUUAAACUUUUCAUUUUGAAUUGAUUGCUUAUCAUAAUAUAAGCAUUAAAUCCAUUAGAUUAAAUUAAAAUUGUCAAAGCGAGAUUAACUAAAAUAAAAUACUGUCUAAGUAAUCACAAGAUUUGUGAUUCUAAUCCCCUAUAAGAUCCAAUAGGAUUGUAAAGCUACCGUUGUUGAUAUUAUUUUUCAAUACAUAAGAAAUUGUUCAUGCAUCACAAUUUUGGUGACAAAAAUCUGGCUUCUACCUCAAAUAAUCUAAGUUUUUAUAAGCAAACAUGAACUGCUAUACAUCUGGGAUGAUUUUAGGAUUGCUUCUUUCUAAUGGAAGACCGAUGGAUAGAUGGAAGGAUCACUCACAGUUUGAUUUCAGAAAAAUAGGUUGAUGAGACAGCCAAACCUUCCACGUCGUAAGUUCGGACCAGCCUCUGUCUUUUGCCUGGGGCUUCCAGCCAGCAGAACUCGAGGUGGAAUGACUUAUUAUCUGCUACACUUUUGGCUACAUCACAUGGACAUCCCAUAUACAUUCCACCAGGCAACAAUGUAAUCUGAUACCCGCCGUCAAACGUUACCAAGUUGUCCAAUUUAGUACCGGUCCAAUGCACGUUUGUGGUUACAUCUUCAUUCAUUGAUGUUGUUGUAAUAUCCUGACAGUAGAAGAACAGGUUGCAAUUUUAAAAUGGAAUCAUAGAUUUCAAGACCCAGUUUGAUGGUGGAAGGUGUUAAAUCACCGAUCGACUAAAAAGCUUAAGCUGAAGGUGAGUGUAAAUUUGAUUAUAUCAUCAAAGCUCCUGAACCGACAUGUUUUAAUACUAUCUUAAAUAAUUGAUAUCAUCCAACAGAGGGAGCACUUUGGUUAAUGUUCAAAAGAUGGGGGAGAGUCCGAUUUCAGUGAAUCAUACCUGGAUAAUCUGACCAUUGUCGUCCAUUUGAAGGGAUGAAAAAGAAUCAGCCUCAGCAAUUGUAGCCCCAUAAACACCACUUCUUUUUGUUCUAGAAUGACCUUUCCAGUCACCAAGAAAAGGGAGAAGCCUGUUUUCCUCAUCCUGCGACCAUACGAUUGUUAGUUCAACACAAAAAAGACCGAAAAAUGUUGAAACAAAGAGUGAAAUUAAGUCCAUCACUUUACUCAAACCAAUGCUACAACUUACCGACACAGAAUUUGAAUUGAGAGGACGAUGAAAAAGUUUCCCAUCAGUCCUUUCCUCGAGAAAAACAAGCAGCAUUUCUAUAAUUCCUUGUGGGUCCAUUAUAUGAAAAGCUCUUGCCCUCAGAUCUCUGUCUGGAAUAUACAGGCAAUUCUCGCAUACAAUGGAAGGUCGGCGAGAAGGAAGCUUGAGGUUUCUGCAUGUUUAAGGGGGUGGUAAAGUAACUACGAAUUAGGAUUUUGUAUAAGUUUGAACAGUUGAAAAAAAAAAGAAAAAAGAACUAAUAUGCAUUCAAGAAAAAGAAACUGCAAAGAAGGAUUUUGCAAGUUGAAAAAGUUGGAAAAAAAAAACUACUAUAUAUUGAGCAAGAAAAAAAUGGCCGAACGAAAGUACAAACUUAAGAAGUGUGUUCUAGAGAAAUAUCAACAUCAGUUCAUUGGCGACAUGAUUGAAACCAAUAAAGGAUUUAAGUCAAAUGAAGUCGAUGAUUAUGAACGCUCAAGGAAAAGGACUUCAUAUAAAAUGUAAUCAUUCAGGAUUAUUAAGAACGUUUAUAAAUAAUUUAUGUUGAUUGAGCCAGGACAGGAAGGAAGAACAAGCAUGGGUAACCUGACGAUCACGAAAUAUUGAUGGCAAUGGGAAUAUAACUCCAUGAGAAAAUAUUGAGUUAUAUAAUAAUCUUAGAGCAGUAUAUUUUCUUUACACACCUUUAUUUAGUUCAUUUCUGGAACUACAAUGAGCAUGAUAUGUUCGAGAGCAGAUAGGAUCACGAAUACACAGAAAGUAUCACAUCUAAUCCAUUUAUACACGAAUGCAGAUAGGAUCAUGAAUGAACUCUUACUUGGGAAAUUCUUCACCGGUAUCAUCCUCACCCAGCACCCCUUCCCUCAGCACAGUAUCCAACAUUCCAGCAGUCUGGUACCUUAGAGAAAAUGCUUUUUCAUUGGGGAAAAAGCCAAUCUGCAAGCUAAUUGUAGCGGAUAUUCAGGACAAAAUGUAUUUUUUGUGUAUAAGCAUACAUACAUUGGAAUUGGGAGGAAAACUCACCUGCUGAUAUUUGUCCACAGUGAACAUGUUGGUUUCUUUAAUUUUAUACUCUGCCCACUCCGGCUCGUCGUCGUUACGAGGAAGCGAAACACUUGAUUUCUGUUUUAUAUAUAACCUAUAAAGUACAAUAGAAUCAAGAAAACAACAAAAUUAGCCGGUGGAUUUGUUAUGGUAAGUCAGUGACAUUGUAAAUAAGAGUUGCAUUAAGGGCUCACAUAAAUUGAAACUGAAAAAAGAUGAAAACCCAUAAAUCAAAGUGAUUUGCAUUUACGUUUGAAUGAGACUGAUAAGUUCGUCCUCUCCAUAAGAGCUCACAGCUAGCUUCGUACUUAUUUCAUGCAGCAAAUUCCCUCGAACGUCAUAUUGCUAGACAAGUAAAUCAAUUCUCAAUCUUAAGUAAAGAAUCAAAACCCCAGAUCCCCAUUUCUCUAAAAGCUUAUAAAUCAAUAGAACAACCACUCAAUUUCCAAUAAAAUUUGAUUAAUCGCAUACACAACAGCAACUGCCGAAGGAAUUAAGCACAAAGUAGAGAAAGAGAAAAUUAAGACUGACAAAGAAAGAACCGUUCCACUUUCCGGAGUUGAUUUCGAAGAAGCGAUAAAGAUUAUCGAUGCUCAUUGAGCCUUCGUUAGGUUCCCGAGCAUCUCCAACGGCGGUGGAUGACUUUGAGGUGGAGGCUUGAAUUUUGCAGCUCCGAAGUGAAAGAGUAGAAGUUGAAUGGGGAAGAAAGGGGUGGAUAGGUCGGAGCUUAGUGAUUGUAGAAGGAAGAGAAAUUGAAUGGCAAAUGGACGCCAUUGAAGCUGAAGCUGAAGCAGAAGUAGAGAUUUCUCUGUUUCAGACGAAAGGUUGAAGAAAAGAUACUAUUGGAUUUAAUACCUUAUCCCUAUUUUCUAAAUUGCUCCAAUUUAAUUUAAUUUUCAGUGCAAAGUUCUUUUUAUUUUAUAAAAUAAAUUCAUUUUUAAUGCAUUUUAAUUUCUAGUACAGAUGCAAUUUCUUUUUCUUAAUUAAAAAAAUUUGGUAAUGGAAGAUCAACAAAUUUUGUCUAACUUUUGUAUAUUAGUUUAAGUGUUAUUCAUAAUUAUUCAUUACUAAUUACUUUUGAAAUUGUGUUUAGUUCAAGGGUUAAUUCCUUUUUCUUCCGUUUGCUUGCUUCCAUGAAAAAAUUUGACAUAUUUCUUUCUUAUGUUUUUUCUCUAGUAUUCCAUUUACAGGAUGAAUGAAUGAUGAAUGAACCGAAGGCGGUCAAUUGGAGAUAAGAGAGGUUCAGUCAAUGUCAAUUUGAAAAAAAGCAAACAAUAACAUUUAAAAAAAAUCAGACUUAAUGACCAAUUAUCGAUUCAUGAUCAGAUUUAAUUAGACAUUCACAAAUUGACUCUGAAUUACUAAUGUUCACCCCUACUCACAAAGCACGGUAAGUAUAGAAACAUGCUUUUUAAAUACUUGUGUGAAUAUAGAUGUUCUUAGAUGUUCUGCAUAAUUUAUAUAAAGCGAUUUCAAAAAAACCAAACUUUCACACCUUGAAUUAAAUUAAAGCAAUUCCAAAAAACCAAACCAAACUUUUACGCCUUGAACCCAUGUGCUCUUGAGGUGUUUCGAAGAAAUGCAUUAAACAUAUCUGAUCUCUAGUACUUAAUUAUCUUGUUUUCUUUGCUCGUCUUUCCACUGUGUGCAUGCUUCAUUUAGAAAAGCAACGCAAGUGCAUUAUUGAAGGUAAAAUCUUGAUAGAAUGUUUGUGUAUUCGAAUUUCAUUUGUUAUUUCAAAGGUGACUAAAUCUUUAGGAGAUUAAAUCUUUUCUCUAGGCUCCCUGUCUCCUAAUAUUUACUAGAAAACAGUAGAAGGUAUCUUCAAGUCUGAAUAAUUCCCACCACAAAGUAAUCCACCGAAACCAAACGUAAAUUGAGAACUAAUACAACCACAAAUCACUUUUGCUUUUGCUUUUGCUUUUCGAGACAGAGAACACAUACAACCAUAAAACUUCGAAAAAGAAAGUUAAUUAUUUUAUUUUAGCUACCAAAAAACCUUCACAAGAAAAGAUAACUUACAACGUACUCUCUCAACUCCAUUCAUCUCAAGGUAGAUCGAGCUUUGCCAAUUUGGUGAAUAGAUGUAUAUUAGAUAUAUAAUACAGUUAAAUAAAUAUUGAAGAUAAUAUAAUUUAUUUAUCAUACAUAAAUGUGUAACAAUCAUACCUACUAAUGGAUUCAAUUAGUCUAAUUUCCAUUUUUUCCUAUAUUACUAUUGGAAGAGACAACUUUGUAAUUUGUGUUAAGAAGGAAGAGUAAUCCAUUGCAGCAUAAUCAAAACUAGUGAAGUUCGAAGAGAGUAUUCUAAAACUAGAGGGAAAAACUUCCAUAACAGAUCAAAACAAUGAGAAUUCAAUUUUUUCCCCUCAAAAUCAAUCUAUAUAUACCAUACAAGUCCUGGAAUCUUCCUAUUGAGAACUGGAAGUUUGUCAAAACAAAAAUUCACACAAACAUGCUUAUAACAGUGAACCAUCAGGAUGAAAAACUACAAGAAUAUAAUGAUAAAAGUUCAUGAAGGGGUCGAGAGUUUUAGCUUUCACCUGCAGGGCCUACUAGGACUCCUUGGGCUGCACCUUCUUUCCGCCCACUGUCUUCCUCCUUAGCCUCGCCAUCAGGCUUUCUAAUCCUGAUCUUGUAUUUGGCCUCCAAGUCAGAUAUCUCCUUCUUCUUCUUCUCCAAUGCCUCAUUGAGUCUCGAAAUAACCUCCUCGAGUCCCUCUUUGUUGCGUUGGACAGCCGGCAGGACCUCUUUGAUGGUUCUUUCAACCAGCACUCCACCGAUCAUUCUGUAGCAUCUUCUUGAUGGGUCAAGUGGCUCAAUUGCGGAAAUAACCAGAGAGUGUUCACUGGCUUCCAUUUCGAGUUCUGUGAUUUUUGAGUAUAUCUGAUUCAAUUCUGACCUUAAAGCGCCAUACAUGUUUGCAACCAUUUGCUCGUUCACUGGUUCCUUGCGUUCACUCUCACUUGAGCUUGCCAUUUUGAUCUAUCAAGUGGUAGAAACUAAGUUAAACAAUUUAUAAAACUAGAAUAAGAAUUACUUUUUACUUUCAUCCCCAUAAAAUAUCCAAUAAUUCUCUCAACCCUUCAAAUUCUACCGAGAGUUGCUCAUGGAGAAUAAGAAAUGGCUUUCUAAUGGAGGAUGGGAUCACAGAAGGUGAGGUGGGUAGAUGAGAGAGUUUUUUGGUUUUACAUGAGUAUAAUUCCGCCCUUAAUUUUAGACUGGAAUGAAAACUCUACAAGGGCAUUUUUAUUUCAGAUCGAAACUUUUCACUUUUUAUAUUAUACAUACUGAAACCAUCUUGACAAAAGAAACACAAAAUCAUUAAUAUUACAAGUAUAAAUAAGCUCAUGGUAUAGACGAGGGAUCCACAAUAAUAUUACGUAUCCAUUAGUAUAUCAAGGAAGCUGUCUUACAUCAAAAGGGCAACCUCAUGAUCUUCGUCCGUCUAUGCUAAAGGUGGCCUUCCCAACUUUCUGGGUCUCUUUUGCUGCUUAAUUUUUACCGUAACAUUAAUCCCAUUAUCAAUAACAGACUGAAGCACAAUUUGAAGCUUCCCUUCUAUCCUCUCACCUUUUCUUGGCGUGUAUAUCAGAUUGUGGAUAUCAUCGCCCAAUGCUCUCUGGGCCAAAACAGCCCCUACAGCAGCACAGGCAGAGGAAUCCUUCCUUGAAGUCAGGUCAAAUUUCAUGUCUUUAGAAAUUGAAUGUGCCACAGCAACAACCUUACUAGUCACUCGGUGAAUAAUGCAGGCUCGAACUGAGGCCUUUGAUAUGAAUAUAUCAAGACAAAAUGGCUCAUGGUAAGGACUGGUAAGUUGAUUAAAUGUGGGUGUCCUAAGCUUCUUCUCAACAUCAUCAUUCUCCCUUUCAACUAUUACAUAUUUGUUCUUCAGAUGUUCAGGAAGCUUUACUUGGCCACUUGCCAAACACUUAUCAAGUUUAUCAUUUACUUUGCUUCUUCUUUUCACCAUAUCUUCCUUUUCCUUUAGAGACUUUUUCUUCCGAUGAAAAUCAAGGCUACAUUCUUCAAACUCUUUGGAUGCUUGGUCAAGUUUGUAGAAGAGAUUUCCACGUAUUCUCAUGUUGUCAAUAUCAUCAAAAUCUGAAUCACAAUAAUCAACUGGGUCAUGAGCCUCAUCCUCUAAGGAGUAUCUAUUUUCAAAGCCAGACCAGCCCUUUUCUCUCGCUUCCCAUGCUCUUGCUAAACCACAUGAAACUGCCCAAGUAUCAUCAUCUACAAGUUCAACAUCAUAAGCAACUGAACAAGGUUUAUCAUCAGGGAACAAUGGAGUUAGCUGAGGCCUGCAUGAACCAUUUGCAAUACUAUUUGAAUGAGCUACUCUUUCAUUCUCGCUUCCAAUGCUUCCCCCAGGAAAUGCUUUUGAGCAAAAGCUGCAGGCCCUCAAAACAAAUUGAGGGCUAGUAAAAGCAAACCCUCUCCUCAAGAACAUGAAGCCACUUUACAACUUUGAACAAGAACAACCACAGAUCCCAACCACCUACUCACAUGAACAUUAUAUGCCUAAAGAAACAAAAACAAAACAACCUAUAGUGAAUGAAUUAACUCAUCGAACCAAAGCAUCAAACAAAUGGGCAGCAUUAUUGAUACUGUAAACUAGCACAAUUAACUUCUUGUUUUUGAAUUUGAUGUACGAGGGAAACUCAUAAAUGUCUUAGUUCCUCUAGUAGCAUCUAAAUUUGCAAUCUGGGUGGAUUGUCUUAAUCAAACUUUGACCUCAACUUUCUCCUCCCAUUUCAUCGAUAGUGGUCGGAGACUCAGAACUCAAAACCCAGAGCCAAAAGUCAACCAAGCAUAAGAAAUAGCCACAUCUAAUGCCCAGUAAGGAUAUCCCUCAAAUCAACAUUGCAAUCCACACAUACUUCCUUCCUCCCUGUUUACAAUGGAAGAUAUAUCUGGCAGUCCACCUCGAGAAUAGAUAGGAUGAAGAUCAUGAAGUUAAAUUUUGAAUAAGACAACCUCCUUGAUAACUCACAUAUAGAUAUAGGUACCCUUCAGAGUUUAAUUUCAAACGAGGCAGAACCAAACAGCUAAAACAUAGUCUUAAAUCACCGCUGUCUUAUCCCCCAACUACUAGAAGUUAACCAACAACUCCCCGAAACAAUAACGUAAUUUCAUUGAAUCAAGACAAAAGCAACAUUAAGCACAGAAAGGUAAGUGAAGCAGUUUAGAAACGCAACACAGUUUCAAGCAAUAAACCAUGGAUUAAGUAACUGAGUUCUAGAUCAAUAUAUUGGCAUAAAGUCUAAAACGAUCGCAACAAGAAGCACCUGAGAUUUUGAUUUCAGAGAAAGAACAUAACGAAAAUCUAUAUAUACAUAAAUUGCCCUUGGAUUGAGAGGAUGAAGAUGCAUAUAACUUAAGUACCUACCUAAUAAUGAGAGUUGACAAAGAGGGAGAAAAAGAAGAGCUUUGAAAUAGACCGACGGUGGCGACGGGGAGAUUGUGAAGGAGAGUGAGGGUCGGCGGCAAACGGCGUAGGUCUGGAAAAUGGAGUUGCUCAGUCCAAUUAGCGCUGAAGACGAACCGAUGAAAAAGAGAAGAUCGUAGGCUGUUGAAAUCUGAUUUUAGGGUUUGAUUCUUUUUCUCUUUUACUUAAAUUACAACUUUUUUUUUUCAUAUGUUAUAUAAAAUAAAUAGGUUAAAGUUGAAAAGAGCUCGAGUCUUGAAUCCGUUUUCAUCCACAUUUAAACUAUUUUUAAAAAAAAUUAAAAUAUUUUAAUGUUUAAAUUAUUUUAUGAAAAAUAAGGGGAAGAUAUUUUGAUUUAGGAUUUCUUAACUUAACCAACUCAUAAUAAAUAUCUUUAAAUUCUUAAAACAUUUUAAAGUUUAUUUAAUUUUUCCCUAAAAAAUGAACUAAGUAUAUGUAUAAUUUCUUGUAGAUCAAUGGCCCAUAGUCCCAUUCACUUAUGAAAAUGCUUCAAUUUGGCCAUCCAAAGUUAAUUCCAAGAGACAACAAACAGCAGUUUUGGCAUUUUGGGGUUUUGUCCACUUUAUUAUUUAAGAUUUAAUAUUUCAAUGAAUUAGUCAAUGAAGAACAUAGAGUAACAAACGUUCAACCUCUUAUUAAACUAAUAAACAUAUGAAUACUUCAUAUUACAAAGUUUUUUUACUACAACAGGGAGUGGCAGAUUCGAAUCAUUACCCUUGUUGGAGACUAUAACUUCAAUCACUUUAACUACAAGAAAAUUCUUAAUUAUUCUGCUGUAACACUAGUGAACUUCUAUCAUUAUUCAAUAACAAUCACACCACCUUUUUGUUGCUCUAAUCCUAUUUACCAUUUUAAACAUUGAUUAUGAAAAACUUAAGCAAAUCAAUCCAGUCUUCUCAACAAGUAUUGAACUUGAACUUCCUUUGUUAAUGGCAUGAUCCAUUCACCAUAAAGUUCAGCAACCAAACUGGGCUGUAUUUUGUAAACUGGGGCAGCAUGUUUUUCCUCGAUGUUCAUAGGAACUUCUUGCCCAAAUGUUUUGGCUUUAGUUUCAACUCUCCGUUUUAUCGCCUCCUCGACGCUCGGGAAUGUCAGCAUGUCCAUCAAUUGCUCUUUGUCCUUCAAAACCGAGUACCAGAAUCACAUGAGAUAUUUGAUUUCAAAAGAAGGCAAUUAAUAUAGUAAAGAAGAACAUUUACUUGCUUCCUAAUUGCAGCUUCAUAUGCCUUGGGUGAGUCUCGAAACUUGGCUUCAGCUACAUAUUUUCCAUAAUGGAUUCUCCUCGAUAGAGCCUGUAGUGAUCGAAAUUAAACGAAUAUAGAAACUCAGUCGUAGAAAGUUUUCCAGCAGUGAGUGUCUACAUAGUUGAGAUAGUUUUAGAUGCAAACCUGCAAGCAAAUCGUGUCACAAACAGCAGUUGAACCAUAAUUGCUGUCAUCUCCUUCCUUGACUAAUCUUGGUAUCAGAUCCCUGAAGUACAUUCUCCAUACUUUGCUAUUUAUAUUAAUGGAAUCCGCCGCAUGAUGUAGUACCUAUUUUCAAUUAGAAUCGUGAAUCAAACAACAUUAUUUGUCACACCAUUAACAGAAAGAUCAGUUCUUUAUAUAGUAUUCUAAUUCCAACGAUGAAACUCUAUUUGGGGAAGUUGUUUUAAGUUAAGUUGCAUUAUAAUGGACUUCAAGUUCAGAACUUUCUAUACGUUCUUAAGAUCAAUCACUAAGACAUGUUUGGAAUGGCUUUUUAGGUACUUAAAAGCGUUCGAGUCAACACUUGUUUUGUACUUUAAGCAUUUGAAAACUCAUUCAAAACUAGCUCUUAACGUCCAUGGAGGUUAACUCACACCUGUGGAUACUGAAGUGGAGGCAACAGUGGAGCUGGUAAGUCGUUGGGGAAGAAAGGAUGCUCAUCAGGACUCUUGUAUCUUCCCACCUGUAAUACAAAAAUAGGUUCCAUCAAAUAUAUAUAAAAUUUACAGUCACUCUUUCUUGUUCCUCCUUCAACAAUUUUCCAAGUACCUGAGCAUGCAGCUUUUCAGUUUCCAUGACCAAGUACUCCACCAAAGAGCCAUUGAAGCCAUCCAUGGAGAAAGCACUGGGGUCAUAUGUAUCUCCAUUAUAACAGUAUUGAGCUCUCCCUAAAAGACUAAAGAUAAUGCUGUCCUCUUGGGAGAUUAAUGAGCGUCUUAUUGCCUCUAAGGUCAAGUUCUCACUGAUAUCCACCCUAGCUUUAGGGGACGGUCUACAAUGCAGAAACAAAUCCUUAAAAUUAUAGCUUGUUCCAUCAGAAACAGAGUCACAGACAGAAAAAUGCUUGAAUUGUAACAACAAACACCAUAUCAGAUACGAAAUAGGCGAGCAAAUAAACCAAGCAAAUAAACCAAGAACAUAAAGAAUAGUGAAAUCAACACUAACAUUGUAUUAGAUACAUCAAAUGCAUAUAGAGAGAAAAUAUCAUAUUACAGAUCUAGAGGUGCUAAUAGAGUUAGAGACUUUAUAUAGCAAACUCCAUAACUCUAGGGUUAAAAUUGGUUUUAACGAUAUCAAAAUAAUUCACAAACAGCAAGACCCCAUGCUUAGUCAUUCAAAGUGUUUGAUCAAGUUAUUCCAACAAUAUUUUUAUUUGUCAUAAAAAACAGCACUUGGGAAAAGAAUAACACAAUCCUAAACAGGAAAACAGAUCUACUCCUAAAUAAACUACUACCAAACUCAAAAAGUAAAUAUUUUUAAAAACAUGUUUGUGAGCGAUUUUGAAAUUGUCAAAAUCAAUUAUGUCUGGUUUCAAUCCAGACUCAAACAUGGAUUUGAUCCAUAAAGCCAAUUAAACGAAGUUUUUAAAGAGAUUUUUUAAUCAGGGAGUAACCGACAGUUCCAAAUCAAACAAAAUCGAUACAACACCAAAACCAUCACCCAACUCAAAAGCUGAAACUUGGAGAACAUGUUAAAUGUUUCUAACAGCAAUGUGAGAGCAGCAUAGAACAAAUUAAAAAUGGAAGCAAUGUCAUAAGUAUACAGAACCCAUCGGAGACCACAACUCAAAAAAAAAAAAAAAAAAACAAAUAAAAGAAAGAUACCCAACAGAGGCAACAGAGGCUUGAACAGAGCGAAGAUUGAGAACCCCAUGAAGCGCAGGGGAAGAGAGAGGCAAGGAGCGAUGAUUAGAGGGAAAAAGGGAAGUGGGUUUGGAGAGAAGAGGGGAAGGAGUUGCAGAAGGGGAAGUAAAAAACAAAGUGGCCUCCAUUUUAGAAAAAAAAAAUGAAGGGAAAAUUUGGGGAGAAGAAACUGAAAGAAGAAGAUGGGGAAAGGGGAAAUUUAAGUAAAGAGCCGGCGUAGGUGAAGGAAGGAAGUGAGUCGUCGUCGACUUUUGGUUUCACCUAACCCGCUUUUGGUCAUGGAAGCUACCUACCACUACCACAACCACCAAUGAGUUUAGCUGAUGCUGCUGCUGGCCUUCUUCGACUUUACAUCCGACGUAUUCAGCUUUCCAACCUUAAAAAAUUAUUCUCUCUUUUCUAUUUGAGGUUUUGUUUUCUUUUUUUCAUUUAUUUCCCCUUUCCUUUUCUAACUUCGUCUCUCUACUCUUUUCUUUUUCUUUUCUUUACAAGCUUUCAUACAACAACUCGAGUUGAAGGAAUUUUGACUCGAGAUUUUAUGUGCUUAGAUCAAUAGAUGAUAUGGGAUUUGUUUGAUUAUCCCAGUGGACUAAUGAUCCAAAAAAGUGGUAAAAAUUUGAAAUUUGUUUGUUAAAAUAAUUUUUUUUAUAAUUAUUUUAUGUGAUUAAAAUGUAACCUAGUUCAUUCCGCUCGCUUUUUUCUCUCUCACGAAUAUCGCCCUCUUCUUGCUUUGUCACUUUGAAACUCAAAUAUCUCAAUAAUAGGACCUAUGAGGAAAGAAGACAUAAACUCAUCGAGUAUAAGGGAGAGGAAGUAAGGAAAAACGAUAAUAAAACAUGAGAAGGUUGAAAAUGAAGAAGAAAAAAAUCGAGAAAUUUGAAAGACGAAGGAAAAAUGAAAUGACCGUGAUUUGGAAAUUUUGGUUGAUGGUGAUAUAAGCUUCGUGAGUGUUUGGGUUAGUUUACUUGCAUAUCAACUAGUCUUACGAAACAAACUGAUCAUCAUGAUCCUAGUGUUAAAAAAACAAGUAAUAAAUUAAAACAUAAGUUAGAUGAUCUUCAUGAUUAAACGAGUAAUUUUUUUUUUAUUAGUUAUUUAUAAAGUUUAUGCUUCGUACUUACUAAGAAGUCGAUCAAUUAUGAUUAAAAUAACAAAAUUCUUAAGUUAAAAAAGUUGGUCAAACCCAUUUUUAACUUUGUGUUUGAAUCUUUUAUAAAACUAUCUCCUUGUGUCGUAAUCAUUUAAACAAGCACUGAAAACAAAAUAAAUGCAAGACUCCUCGUAGCUACAAUAAAUAUUAUUUAAAAUUGAGAUUAUUUCAAAAAUAUAAAUGUUUGCAAUAUUUUUUACUAUUUUCCUUUAUAAUUCUCUAAUUACUUAUAAUAAAUACUAUUUCAAAAUCUCACAUUUGCUACAAUAUAUACUAUUUGGUGCCGUUUUUACUAUUUGCUUUCAAUUUUUUACAAACUAAAGUAGUUUAUACUUUAAACUCUAAAUUAUUAAUAACCCAAUUAUAUUAACUACUCUCUUAAAAUUAAUUUAAACUUAAAAUUAAGUUAAGAACUGUGAAAUCUUAAUAUUCAUUAGGCUGAAUAAACACAAUCACUCUCUUAAUUAGUAUUUAAGAACCGUCAAAUCUUCUUUUUGGCAGUUUUGUUUUAUGUUACUUUUAAUUUAAAGAUUGGAGGUUUACAUUAUAUUGAAGUGUGUGAUUCAUUGCUACCUUUUCAAACUUAUCUUCCUUUUUGUUCCUUAGUCAUUCAUCCAUAAUUAGGUUUGAAAUAAACAAUUCUAAGUUAAUGUUUCUUGAAAAGUAACAUUAAUUUAUUUCGCCUAAUGCAAACCUAAUUAAUAAGAACCAUGAAAAGAAAAACAUAAAUAUCAAAUAGUACUAGAUGAUUUAUUAUUUUAUGAACUUUACCUAAUAUUUAAAUGUUGGUUAUACGUAGAUAUAUAUAAAAAGAGAUAAUAGGACAAAAUUUUCUCUAACGUCGUGCUAAUCCAAUUAAAAAAAGAAAGAAAUAGUUGGUUUCACAAAUGUUUUACUAUCAAACGAAAAUAUGGAAAUUAUUUUCGUAUUAAGUUGAUUUAAAAUUUGAUUUGGUUGCGUUAUUAUUCGUUUAAGUGGAAGUGUAUUUAAUGUGAGAUAAUGCAUGUUUAUUUUUUAAUUGUUGGAUGCUAAAAAAUAAAACUAUAAUCUGAUUUGUUAUUUGGUAUAUAAGAUUAUAUAUUAUAAAGUUGUGGUAUGUUAGUGCAGUAAGAAAUAUAUUGCAGCUUAUUUCUUAAAACACAAAUAUAUGAGUACAUUAUUUUAUAUAUAAUGUGUAGUAUUGUGUAUAAGGUAAGGUAGUAUAUUUUAAUGUCAUUUUGUGCACUAAUGAGGAUUGAUAUUUUCUUAAAAUAUAAAACUCGAUAUUUCGAUCAAAUAUUUUUGAAAAGAGUAAAAAAGGCCAAAAAAAAAUUACAACCAUUAACAACCCACAAAGUUGAACUGUUGGGCUCUAGCGGUGAGUCAGCAUUUGGCAAGCAAUGCUUAACAUUAAAGUUACAUACACACCAAGAACACUCAUUGGCUAUCAAAUCCCCACGUCACCAAAAGAGUUUCCACUAAUCCAUAAUUCGUACAAUGAGUGACUUGGCUUUCUCACAUCUAGCCACGUGCCAUGUUCUAUCCAUUUUCCCAUACCUUUUUGGGACCCUCACAAAAGACAAUCCAAGUUUUGGAUUAGAUGGUCAUGGUCAUAUCAAAAAGUGCAACUUUUCCUUUUAUGUGGUUCACAAUUCAUCUCUUUCCUUAUAAACCUUCUCCCACUUUCCCUUCAUCUUUGCAAGAAAGAAAAUUUGAUCACAUCCUUUACAAAGUUAUGGAAGCUUGUUUUGUCACCUCCAAACCCACUUCUUUCCCUAUUCAUACAAGAAGAUCACCAACCCCAUCAUCUCUCAAAAUAUCAUGUAAGUUCUGAUUCCUCUCUCUCUCUCUCUUCUUUUUGCUGUUUCUUUCGUGUUUGUUACGUGGAAUUCUCUAACACACUUAUUGUUGUUUACUUUUCAGGUUGUCAAUUUAGAUCACCCUUAUCAGGAGGAGAGGAAGAUGAUUGGAGAUCGUUUAGAGCGAAAUUGAUUGCCACUCAAAAACUAUCAACGCCUCAGAUUUCAUCUUCUUUUGUGGAUCUUGACACGGUAGUGGAUCAUCCACCGUCGGUCUCCCUAGGUGAGAAAUGGGCUCAUGUCAUUCAUGGACCGGAAAAGGGAUGUCUUCUAAUAGCUACAGAGAAGCUUGAUGGAGUACACAUAUUCGAACGAACGGUGAUUCUUUUGUUAAACAAUGGGCAGUUAGGUCCAUCAGGGAUCAUACUAAACAGACCCUCGUUGAUGUCCAUUAAGGAAACGAGGUCGACGGCGCUGGAUGUUGCCGGGACGUUCUCGGAGCAGGCAUUGUACUUUGGCGGGCCAUUGGAAGGAGGAGUGUUUCUAGUGAGCCCAAAGACAAAUGGGGAAGAUGGGGUUGGAAAGAGUGGGGUUUUUGAGGAAGUAAUGAAAGGGAUGUAUUAUGGGACUAAAGAAAGCGUUGGAUGUGCAGCAGAAAUGGUGAAGAGAAAUCUUGUUGGGGCUGAAGAUUUUAGGUUCUUUGAUGGGUAUUGUGGUUGGGAAAAGGACCAAUUGAAAGAUGAAAUUAAAGCUGGUUAUUGGACCGUGGCUGCUUGUAGUCCUAAUUUAAUUCAAAUGGAUGUGGGAAAUGUGGGACUUUGGGACAACUUACUCAGCCUUUUGGGCCCUAAAAAGGUUUGGUGAAGUUAUGAUACCAAUUUCAUGAUAUCUAAACAUUUUCCACACAGAGGAACUUAAUGUGUAAAUUUGAAACAAUGGUUUGUCAGUUUGAAAAAGUGCAAUUUAUGAAAUAUUAGUUAACAUCCACCUAAUUUUAUGCAAUUUGGUUGCAUUAAUACAUCACAUGCAGUGUAAUGAGAUUUAAUAUUUGGAGAACUCCUUGCGUGAUCUACCUUCUUCGUUAAUCACAAUUGAAAUUCUAUUACACAUGUCUACAGACCUCAACUGACAUUGAUUUGGCUUAGAAGAUCACCUGCUAUGAAUUAAAUCUUUUCUAGAAGUUGAUUGUUACUUUACCUAAUUUGUUGGGUUUCGUUUGUUUUUAUCUUCUCAAUUAUAGAACAUCUCAUAUGUGGUCACAAUUUGAGCACAAGACGUUUUAGAGAAAGCACAUAUAUAUACCUAAAUGUUUAGACCAUUAAGAUAUGCUCUUUCCACAUUGCAAUUAUCAUUUAUUCUAUUAAGUUCAUUAGGAACAGAACUUAGAUUUUUCUAAUGUAAUUUCUUUAUCACAAACUACUUGAUAAAUUGUUCCCAACAAAUUUACAAUCUCAUUUGUAAUGUCUUUCGAAAUGUUUAAAGAUACUUCUUUUAUAUUUAAAACAUUAACUACUUAGCAAGUUAUUCCAAACAUUAACUCCAUUUUUCAAGAGGAGUGAGAUUUUGUAAGAGAAAAAGAGAUCAAAGAGUGAAAAAUACGUGUAGAUGCGUUUCAUUUACAACUGAAAAACACUCAAACAAAUACAUUUCAUGGAAAUGAAAAACAAAAAAAUACGUUUCAUUCUUGAAAUUACAUUCAUUUUCAAUUCCAUAUCUUUCUUGAGAAACACGAUCUAACAUCAAAUAGAGAAAAUAAACACUUCAUCUCACACUUGACACUGAAACAUUUUCCAACAAAUGAGAAACAGUCUCCACUUUCAUUUCCAAUUCCAUGUCUUUCUUGGGAGAUGGAUAUAGAAUCAUAUGGAAAAUGAUAUGAAUGAAUGGGUUUUGAAGAAAGAGUUCAAGAAUUGGAGGCAGAAGCAGCAAUUCACUAUUCAAGAUGAUCAUGUGGUCUGAAUGACAUGAACAUUGCAGCAUACUGCAAAAGCCGACGUUCAGUGCUUCCAUUUUCCACCACAGCUAUCACUGGACGCCUCAUCCGUUUUCUGUAUCGACGCCAAGCAAGUUGUAUGUUAACAGCAGCCCAUGUUCUCCAGUUGGAAGAGUAAAAUCUUGCUGUUCUCUUCAGUCUCUCAUUCGCGAAUUUGUAGCGGAAGUGAUCGGUUAUGUACUUCAGAUGGUCUGCUUUCAGGGCAAAUGCUUCUGUUGGUUCAAUGCAAACAAAUGUAGCGGAUGAAGCUGGAAGUCUCUCCAGAAAUGGGCGACGAAGACACCACGAUAGCAGUUCGUCACCAAGAAAUCCUCCCGGUUCAAUAAAACUUGUCGCUGUCAUGCCCUUGCUCAGGCUUUGGCUACGUUUUACUCGUCCACACACUAUGAAUAACAUCCUUGGAACAGGAUCUCCUUCUCUGAUUAUCUGUGUUUUAAGGAAAUAUUAACAUUCAUCUAUCUUCCGACUCGUUUGAAAUGACUUUUUAAGUGCUUAAAAAUAUUUUUUUAGCAAAGGAUGACAUUCCACGUGUCUUCGUUCAAAUAUGUACCUUUUCAUCUUUGGAGAAUACAAGUGGCUUGACUUUGUCACAUAUGUUGUCUAGAAUCAGCUCCUCCAGGUUUUGAAAGAGAGGCACCUACACAUUGAUGAUGGUUAAAAAAGGAAACAAAGAACUACCACCGCAAGUUUUCCGUAAUCCUAAAGAGAACUAAGGCCUUAGCUCUCUUUGAUAACAUUUUGAACUUUGUUUUAUAUUUUAAAAAUUAAGCUUAUAAACACUAAUCUCAUCUACUACUUUCUAUUAAUAAUUUCAAACCGAACCUAGUAUUCAGAAACGAAAUUGUUAUCAAAUGUUGUCUACAAUAUCGUAGUUACCUUUCUGAUUAGGUCAACACAAAGAUGACGUUUGAUAUCUCUUCUAAGACCUUCUGGCAAAUCAUUGAUUAGUUCCAUCUCAUCUUCUCCUCCCAUAGCUGCCCAUCUCUGGUGCUCAUAGUGUCGAACUCGAUGUUUCAAACGAGAUGGCAAUUGUCGUCUCCUCAUCCACCACUCCAAAUCUCGACAUCUCAGCUGCAUUUUUCGCCUCCUUGCCAUGACAGCGUGCAAAAGUACCUUUGUAGGUUUUUUUAUUGUUUUUUUUUAUUUUAGCAAUGAGAAGUUAUUAUCAUCAGAAGAAGAAAUUUUUAAUCUAAAUUUGCAUAAUGAACCAAAAAAAAAAAACUCACCUGAAUAUUACCAAUCAAAAGAGUGAAAAGCAACAAUCCACUAAGCACCGUACAAAUACUGAAGCACACUUCCAGCCAAUUACUCGUAGGCUCAAGAUCAUUUCCAAAGGUGCUUCAACAUUUAAACCAUCAUUUAUCAAGAAACAGAAGCUAAAGAAACAGAGUUAGAAAAGCACUUUGCCUCUUUCCUUAAUUACCUGAGAGUCAUUAAUCCCCAAAAGAUAGGAUAAAGGAUUUUGACAGCAACUGAAUUGCUAGAAAUGACAGGAAGAGCCCACUUGUAGAUGCCAUAGGCGAACGGACCAUUAACAUCCAAACAUAGUGGCUUCCUAAACGUAGCAGUCGAAUUCCGACCACACGAACUUCCAAUCGUUGUAUCUGAUGAUAGAAACUGAUAACACACCUCCUCAGAGCAAGACAAAGAUAAGUUGCACUUGUUUCUCUCACAAUGUUGUUGGAUACAAGAAGCAACUCGCUGUAUUGCAAGAACAUACCAACAACCCCCAGCAACCUGUUAACAGCAAAAACAGAUUCAGAAUAAAAAACAAAGUUUAAAGAACUGACUAUGAUGAAAAAUACAAGGUGCGCUUACAUGAGAGGCAAUAAAAUAGGCAAUGAGAUUGAGGCCAAAACCCCACCAAAUGGUGCCAAAGAUGUAUCCAGUAACCUUCUGCAUUCUUCUCAUUAAAAUAAUGGAGUGGUAAACUUUUGGGAGGAAUUGGAACAAGAACAUUAAUAAGAUUACUGUCAUUAUAAGUUUGAUUCUUUCUUCUCUGAUCAGUUUUGGUAAAACCAACCAAUAAACAAUCUGCCAUAAGAAAAGAUGAGCACAGAGGAAGCACAAUCAAAACUUUGAACAUUUUCCUCUUUAAGUUCGCUAAAGGUAAAGAUAUUUUUGUUGAAUUUAGGAAGAAUUAAAGCCUUUUCAUUCAUUAAUAAGAAAAAUACAAAUAUGUUCUUCUGUGAAGCAAUAGGAAUUGAAGUUUGAACUUGAGUUUGAUUUCUUACGUCCCAUUUGAUACCAACUUCAUUUUUAGUUUGUUUUGGAAAUCUACAUUUGUUUCCAUCCAAUUUUCAACCAUAGUUUUCAAGAAAUAAUUAAAAAAAAUAACUAGAUAGUCAUCAAAUGGAGUAUUACAAUAAUUAAGAGAAGAUGAACCAUUCGAUAUUAGAUCGAUGUCAUGAACAUUAAGUUACACAAACACAACAAAAUAAGCACUUUAAUAAUAGAAUUAAAAAAAAAAAAAAAAGAAGAGAGAAGAAGAAGAAAAGUAAACAAAAAGACAAAUACAGAGAUAAAGGUAAUGAUAAUAGAAUUAUGGUUGUACCAUGUUAUGAAAAAGUUAGAACAAAAGAUAAGAACCCAUGACCACUCUAUUAUUGCACCAUCCUAACUGAUUAAGUCAUAUCUUAAAAGUUAAAGUUAGUGAUUAUUUUCAAUAAUUUGACCAACAAAUUCCAUUUUUAUCAAACAACUAGUAAUUAAUGAUAGUUGAUUAUAUCCAAAUGAUUAAUGAUAAUGGAGAUUCAAAUCAAAACCUCUUAGUCAUUAAGAGGUACUCAUUGUCACUUGUAGUAGAUAACUACUAUGCUUGUUUUACUCCAUUCUAACCAUUCAUUUAUGUAUUAUAGAUUACAUUCUCUUAGUUAAAAUAUCAGUUUAACAGUUACUUCAAUUUUAGUAAGAGUUAAAGUUACUACAAUAAUUUCUAUACACAACAAUUAUUAUUAUUGUUAUUAUGUAGACCAAAAUGGUAUUUUAACUAAUUUUUAAAAAAAUCAAAUAAGUUGUUUUAAGUAUCUUUGAAUAACUAUUUAGUUUUUUAUUAUGAUUUUAAAAUGAAGCCCAUGAAUACUCGCUUUUUUAGAAAAAAAAAAAAGGCCAAGUGUUCUUAAUAUACCGAUUAUAUUAAAAAAUGACAUACUCCUAGCAACCAAAAUAUUUACGAUGGACCGUAAUAACAAAAAAAUAUAUUAUUAUUUGUGUCUAUUGUGUUUUUAUAAAUGGUUUUAAAAAAAUUGUCAUAGAAAAAUAAAAAAAUAGAGAGAAGGAAGCAAACCUGAGGAACAGGGAGGAUAACAAAGGCAUCAAACCAAAAGCCUUUGAAAGAACGAACAUAGUGAGAAGCAAUAUCACGUGCAUCCCACACCAGUUUCCCACACCCAAUCACCAUACUCUCUUUCGACACGUAAGCAAGCCUGAACUGAAGCCACACGUGCCACAAGUGCACUAUAUCAAGACACGUUCGAACCACCGUAACUCCGGCAGCCAACCCACCAUCCAUGUACAGGCAAGGCCAUCCUCCUCUUCCAAUAGACAGAGCAUAGAAGUAAAGCGGAUCAACCGCAAGAGACAUUCCCCGGGCCAAUAACAGAACCCGGUUCCAUCUCUGAACCGGUUUCUUUCUUGGGUCCAGAACCGUCCCGAAGCAACCCGCCGAAGAAUGUCGGGGCGCUGGUGAGGAUUUUGUGGGUUGGAUUGGAACCAGGGAAGAGCCCGCGGAGGCUUCCCAUUCGGGUUGUUGGUGGGCGUGGUCGCAGCUGGUGGAGUGGAAGGCUGGAACGCCCACUUGGGUACAGGCGUAGCAUUCCAAGACUGGGGUUGCGUCGGCGGCGACAUUGAGAGGAGGCGGUGAUGGCCUCAGACAAAGCUCGCUCCACCUGAAAAGGGGGAAGGAGAAAUCGGUUAGUGAGAGAGAAAAGGGAAAUAAUGGAAAUUAGAAGGAAGUAGUAGUACGGACAUGGAAGAAGGCAUGGGGAAACCACCAUGGGAGAGAGUGGAUUUAGAAGAAGAAGAAGAAGAAGAAGGGACAUGAGAGUAGUGAAGAAGGAGAUUGAGAAUUGAGAUAGAGAUUGGGAAUGAAACUGAUUUGUGAAGAAGAGAGGCUUAGAAUUAGGAAUAAAUGAUGAAGGAAGGUUUAGGGAAGAGGGAAGCAGGGGGAGGCGGUACUGUGGUGGUGGGGGCUCCGUAUUUUUGUCACUCCAAAUCCAAUCCUGAGUUGGUUAAUUGUGUUGACGCGGAUAAAGAUUGAUCGAAUUGAGCUUACUAAUACCAUCAACACCAACCGAACCGAACCAUUUACGCUCAAUACACAUACUCUAAGUUUGGUUAGCUUAAGUAGUAAAGAGUAAACACGAUAACAAGAAAGAUAAAUGAGUAUGAAACGGUAAGCAAUAAAAAGUGUCAUCCUGGAAAUAGAAUGAUAUCAUUAACUAUCAAUUAUCAUUACCCUUAAUUAUGGUGGCAUUAGGAAGUAUUUUAGAGAUAAUAAUUAGAAAUUUUGUUUUAAAUGAUAAACUACCGAUAAUAUUUAUAAAUAUAACAAAAUAUCACAUUUUAUCAUUUAUAGAUGAUAAUAUUGUAUCAAUGUUGAUAACAAUGAUAUUUUUCUACAUUAAAAUGUUUUAGUUCAUUUUAGUAUAUUGUGGAGGAAGGAGUCGGUCGCUAGAGUCCAAAGUUAAAAAUGUUGUCACUUCACAAGCUAAUAAACCUAUUCAAGAUAUCUUCAACCUUAUGUACUACAAAUCUUUCCAACUUUUUAUACCUCUAAUCAUUCCAAAUAUUGAAUACUUACUACAAUUAGCUUGAAACACUUAACUCGGGGUUAGAUUUUGAAUUUUGGAUACUCCAAAUAAAUUUAUAAUGUUCUAGAAGUGAAUCAAAUGAAUGUGGUUGAUCAAAUUAUUAGCAAUUAUUUAGAGAGAGCUGAAUAUUAGAGAGUUUGAAAAGUGUGGUUUCCUAAUGGUUACUUGACUAAUUAAUUAAUUUAAUCGUUAUUAAUGAAUUCAAUCACACGCGUAAUUUUGAUAGAUGAGAACAAUGGGUGAUAAUUCAUCAACUGUAAAAGUAAAUAUUUAAAUUGAUUUUGUAGGAUGGAGUGAUAGUAAAAUUUCUAAAAUUGCUUUCACGUAGAUGCAAAAUCUCAUACCAAUAUAUUAUUGAACUUAGAUGUUUGAUCCCCUUUCCUAUACCAUUAAUUUCCACAAAACCAAUCUUUAAAAAGUUUUAAAUUUGUAAUUUACUAUUCUUGCAAGUAAAAUAUUAAUUGAAAAGAUGGUUUAAUUAUUUGGUUUAAAAUCCUCCACUUUCUAUUGUCAUAAUCUCUUUCCUAAACACAAUUAACAAUACUUUUCUUCCAAAUAGAGCAAGUCUAAAAUGUAAUAUAAAUUUGAGUGAACUUUGUUGUUUCAUAUAUUUGAGUGAACUUUGUUGUUUCAUAUAUUAUAUAUGGAUGAUGUAAAAAUACGACAAAAACAGUUCAAAUUUAGAGAGUUUUGGUUGAGAUAUUAUUUAAUUAAAACUUUGUUGUUAGAUUGAUUAAUGAAUUAAAUUUCACGUCGAGUUUUUGCUUUCAAGAUAAUCAAAAGAGCUUUUUUUUUCUUCUAAUUUUGCAACAUAAUUCAUUUAUUGAGUUGGAUGUGAAUAAUAUUAGAAUGACACUAAUAAUCAUAUUUUGUUGACGGUUUGAAUUAGGGUUAAAGAAACUUGUUCUUCAUCUCAAAUUUUUUGAUAGGCUAUUAAUGUCUAAUCCAAUUAUUAAGCUUUAGUAUUUGAGAAGUAGGGCAAGAUUCGUGUAUGUACCAAAAAAAUUCUCGUAUCAAAAUAAAUAUUUAUAAUUCAUUUUUUUUUAUAUCAUAAUUUCAUUGUCACUCCUUAACAUAAUAGACAAAUUAGUUCAUUUACAUUUUACACCAAUCUGCCAAUUUGUAAUUAAGAAGUGUGCAUUUGUUAUCUUACAAAAGCCUAAUUCAAAAAAAAACCAUCACAUAUUUUUAGAAAACCCAUCUCAUUAUUUCUCAAAUAAUAAUGUAUAUAUAAAAGAAAACAAUAAUUUAAUUAAGUUGGCCUUUCAUUUGGCCCUUGGCCUUUGGGAGGAAGGGGCUUAUAAUAUAUCUCUCCAAUUUUGUGGAAUGUAUAUAUUGAGUGAAUUUUUUUAUAAAAAAUUGGGAAAUUAUAUUAUAAGAGAUAUAUAUCUAAUCCCAAGCAAUGGGAAAAACCAAAAAGAAAUUUUGGUGUUUUUUUAUAAGAAAAAAAAUGGAAAAAAAGCUGCAGUUCUUUUAUUUGGGUCCCAAAAGAACAUGCACACCACCAAAGGAAUUUGCCCAUAAAUUGAAACCUUCAUACCAAAUCUCCAUACUCACCCUUUUAACCAUAUUCUCUUUGUAUACAAAUUGAAUUUGUCAACCUCAACAUACACACAUCAACCCCUUUGUUGUUUCUGUUGGAGAUAUUAUUACAAAUAACAACCAUAAUCAACUUAAUUAAUAUUGAGAACAUCUUUCUUUUGGUAGAUUAAAAACUAAUAAAGAGAAAGUAAAAAAAGAAUAAUACGUUGAAAAUAAUCUUGGUUGAUGUGUGCAUUGAGAGAAAGGGAAAAGUUCUUUUUAUAGUGGAAUUUUGCAUCAAGUAUUAAUUAUACGUUAUCAAUAUUAUUUCAAAAAAAUUCACUACGUUUUUGUAUGAUCACAAAUUUGGAAAAUGACACAUCAUGUAAUUUUCUAAACAUAUAUAUAUAUAUUACAAAAACAUCGUACCCUUUUCCGUAAUUUUACUUUUAAAAAAAGUUUAGACAAUGAAAAUAUUAGGUAUAGACUUUAAGGUAUAUAUGCAUGAUAAAGACCCAAAUAGCUAGUGGUACAUGUAACUAUUUUUGAUGUUAUAGGAAAUCAACUUUCAAAGUUAUAAAGCAAUCAAUCAUUUGAGUUAUUAUUAUUUACUAAGAGGUUAGAAUUGUCAUUUUGAAAAUUAAAAUAGAGAAUAAGACAUUUUUAUGCCCCACCAAAACUUCUAUAGCAAAGUGAUGAGGACCUACCCAUUUGAGCACAGUGUGUAUAAUAUAAUGUUUGAUUGAUUACUAUUUCAAAAUUAUUAAAACAAUGUCUUUUUCUUUAUAUGGUCCCUUUUAGUCAUUAUAGAGAAUGAUUGUUCACUCAAUUCUUAUCAUAAAAUUUUAUUCAUACACGACAUGUCAUUGGAUAGAUCAGAUUUUAAAUCUCGAAAUUGAUAGGAGAGAUAGUUAACUUAUAUUCAGCGUGAACAAUAAUAUAAUAUUUUUGUAACUAUUUCUUUUUCUUUUUCAAUAAUAUCACAAAAGACGAAUAAGAAAACAAAACUAUUCGAGACUUUGUGAUGAUUCAAAAUGUGAAGAUGAUAAUCAAAUUAUUCCAAAAUUUGAUCUUUUAUUUAUUUUUGCCCUUUUAGCUUUAGAAAAGAGAACGAACAUUUUAAAUAGAUUGUUUAGUUUCGAGUUGUGAAAUAUAUUAAAUAAUGAGUUGUUCAUCUUUUUUGUUUUAGAAAAAAAUAUAUACAUUGAAUCGUAGGUAAGAUAUGUGUCACAUACGUCAAAAUAAAAACAAAUACAUCAAAUCAAUACAUACCACCAUAUGUGUUUGAUUUGAAUUCUUUGCCUUACACGAAGUAUAUAUGCUUCCGGGCUCGAACUACAUUUUCUUUCAAUGUUUUAUAUUGUUUUUUACCAUAUAAUAUAAGCAAUGUUCUACGAGUAUUUAUAAAGAAUUAGAAAAAAGAUAUUCAAUACGGAUGUGUUGAAUAAGAAAUUUUGAGACCAAUCAUAAAUUGUCACAUCAUUUAUUAAGUUGAUGAAAAGUACAAAUAAAUAAAUUUAUGACUAAUUAAAAUUGACAUGUGCCCCAAAUUAAAGAAUUGAAAAACAUAAAUUGACCAUUUUAAUAAUGUCACAUGUUUUCAUCUUAACGAUUAGAUUAAGUUAAAAUCCACGAAUUAAAUAAGAACUCUAUAAAUAGAGAAAUUCUUCUCAUUUGUAAGGGUUGAAAUUUUUUUUACUCCAUAAGGUCUAUAGAGAAUUUUUUCAAAAACUACAAGACUUCCCAACUCCUAAAGUCGACCACCCUCGAAGAUUGAAACUCAUUUGAAGAUACAAACUUUCUUCCAACUUCAAGAAGAUCAGAUGUUCCACUUCCUCAAAUCAAGCGUAAGCAUUCAACCAACUUGAAGAACAUUAUGUGCUUCGCUUCUCCAAAUCAAGCGUAGACGUUCAACAAACUUCAAGAACGUCACAUGUUUCGCUUCCUCCAAAUCAAGUGUGUAGGCAUCCAGUCGAGAGCGAAUCAGAUGAUCAAAUUUUAGAGAUUGAACCGCAUCGCAUCAAAUCAACAAAGAUACAGCAUCAACUCCAAGUUCAAAUCCACGAAUUAAAUUUAUUCAAAAAUUUCAUGUAAACAAGAUGUCAAACUCUUCAUUUUACGAAUAUAUAAUUGAGAUAUUGAUGAAUAUUGUUCUCAUCAUCUGUCAAAACAAACCUUUCGGACACAUCGACAAUGAAACGUUGGAACGAAGAUUAAUUGUCCCAACUUAUUUUACACACAAAUAUAUGUGUUAAAAUUUUGCAACCACACAUAAAUAUAUGCCGCGGAUCUCUUUGGUUGUUUCUACACGUGAAGUUUCACAUCACAACCCUACAACUACGAAUGGGUCCUUCCACAUAUUUUGUAAAUUUUGUGAAAAACACAAAUACAUUGACAUAAAAAAAGUUUUGAAUCAAAUUUGCUUCCAACUGUGGAUUUAAUGAAAAAGACAAAACUUUAUUAUUACGAAUAUCAUUAUUGUUCUUUCCCUCACUUUGGUUAAUUAUAAUUGUAAUGUUGUAUGAUCAUAAAAUCGGUUUGGUUUUCGUUUCUCAAAAAUCGGUUUUAUUUUGUCUUUUGGUUUAGAAUUUAGGUUUUUUUUUUUUUUUUUUUUUUGUUUUAAAAGAUUAAAUUAGACUAACCAUUGUUUUCAUCCAUUAGUUUCCAUGUUUUGUUGUUUAUAUUUUCGAGGUGUUUUUGAAAUAAGAACUAAAGUUUUUUGUUUUAAAGUUACAUUUUGUUUUUGAAAAAAUGGUCGAGAAUUCAAACACAUACAUAGAAAAAUGUGAAAACUAAGUUGUAAAUGUUUAAUAAAUAGAACCUAAAUCUUUAAAGUUUGAUUUUGAUUUUCUUGAGAAGCAUUGGUAGAAGUGGGUGAGAGGUAAUUUAGGGAAUUUUCAAAAGAGAAAAUAAAAAGGAAAAUCUUUUUAAACCUAAAAUUUUGUAUAUUUGUAUUUGAUAUUAUUUUGAAGUUUAAGUUUUGAGUUUAAUUUGUUUUAAGUAUUAUAAAUGGUGUUCUUAAAAUAAAAAAGAAAAAAGUUACAAGUUGGGGAAAUCCAAAUGCAACUUUCAAUUACAAAAAAAAUAGUUAUUGAAGAAGCAAUUCAAACUGGCAAAAAUUAGAAAUGUUUUCCUUUUCUCUUUCAUUUUAUUCAUAUUAUGCAUAAAUAAUAAAUGUUAUUUGUCAUUGGAAUAAAUAUUUAUAUGUACAAAGACAUAUAUAUAGAAAAACAACAAAAAAUAAUACAAAAAUAGAAUGAAACUAUAUGGAUUGGGGACAGCUAAUUUGCAAGUAUUAUUGUAAAUGGAAAAGAUUCUCAAUUGGUCACAAUCGCUCUCUCCUAUAAUUUUGAAUUAUACGAAUUCUAAAUCAACAUCUUACACACAGUAGUGGCAGAUUCAGAAAUCAUACGUAGAGAACACUAUAUAACAAAAAAAAAAAAUCAUAUAUAGAAAAACACUAUAUAACAAAAAAAUCAUAUGGUAAUAAAAAAAUUAUUUUUAGUGUAGUAAAAUUGAAAAUAAAAUUUAUUCAUAUUUUUAGUUAUGCUUGAAAAAAUAAUUAAAAACAUAUUUUAUAAAAUGAUUUUUUUUAUAAAUAGAACAAAGCACAAAAAAUAUUUAUACCGUAUAGAACAGUUUUGAAGAAAAAAAACCCACAAGCCCAUAACGUGAAAUAACAAAAAUAUCUUGCAAUUAAUGAAUUACACACUCGUGAAAAAAACGAUUUUGUACCAGUUUAGUACACGAUCUUGUACUCUUGUACCAAAUCUAAACGAUAUUGUACCAAAUCUAGACGAUCUAUUAGUGAUAGUGAUGUAUGUCUAUAUAGGAUAGAUAACUGAUUAUUUAGAUAUUGAUACACAAUAGAUAUUCGUACACGAUUGUUUAAGAUCUUAUAUCUAUAUCAUUUAUAUCUUGUACCAAGGAGAAAAAAAGAAGAUAGAUGAAAAAAAUUAUGGAAGAGCAAAUGAAGAAGUUGCAAAUAAGAAGAAGAAAAAGUAAUAACACUGACCGAGAAGAAUAGAUUAGAAAAAAUAAGAAAGAAAAGUAAAGUGAAAAAUGAUCUCACGAUAUUAAAAAGACUACAAACCGUAAAUAUGAAAUUUAUAAAAGAAUUGGUAGGAUGAUGAGGUUGUUGCCCGGGUCGUAAAUAUUUUUAAAAUUCAUUUUAUUUUUUAUUUAUAAAUAUUUUAAUUUUUAAGGCAAAUUAUUUGAGCAACCAUUUAAUGGGUCCAAAGUCUCAAAUGGGCUAAUAAUUUGGAUAGGGCCGGCCCAAUAAUCUCAUUCAAGAUAUUCGUUUAUAUAAUAAUAAUAAUUUUAUUCCAUCCACAAUAAAUAUAAAAUUAACUAAAAAUUCCACCUGAGAAAAAGCGAAUAAUCAUCCUCCACGUGUCGAAAAAUCAACCUGGAGUUUGCCAUCUUCCUCGACGAACAAUCAAUCUUUCAGAGUGAAAGUAAACGAAAAAAACGAACAAAUUUGUUAAAAGAGAAAUGACAGCAGCCAUUGCUGUUUCUUUUCCCAAAUCCGCCAUUUUAUGGCAAAACCCAUUCUCUCGCAAAGACCCUGUUCCCAAUUUUCUUGGCCGCUCGUUUAAGGGUUUCACUAAAUCGAGGACGAAACUUCAUCCUCUAGGUCUAAUUGUUGCUUCCUCCACUUCAUCUAGUAGUAGCGAUGGAAGUGUCAGUGAAAGAUUCUACUUCAAUUUCACUGGGUUCCCUUUUCCUCUUGGCCCCUUUCUUAAUCGCCGUACUAUUAGAACCGAGGUUAAACGUUUAACCAUUUACCCUUUUCUCUCAUUUCUUCAUCUGGGUCUGUUUGAUUUGAUGGAGUCUAUUGAUGAUAUUGUAUAAUUGAAGAUAUGGGUAUGUGGGUAUAUGUUAUUUAUUAUUUUUAGCUUGUGUAGGUUUGAAUUUUUUAUAUCUUUCGUUUGUUUUUUAGGCUGUGAAAGGUUCUAUAUGGCUUUUUGAGCAAGAACAAGCGUUGGGUUUCAGUAGUGUCUCAACAAACAUUAGGAUGACAGUCAUCAAACUCAAAUCUGGUGGCUUAUGGGUCCAUGCACCCAUUGCUCCGACCAAGGAGUGUAUUCAGGUUCUAUUUCUACUUCAACUCUGUUAAAUUUAUAUUCCCUCGGUAGCCUAAGUUCUUGAGUGAAUGGUUGAUUUAAGAUGGUAUCAAAGUUAGGUCCAAAAGGUUCUAUUUUCAAACUCUUGUAACGUCAUUUCCUCUUUAAGAUUAUUGAUUUGAUUUCACUCGUUGAUAAUUGAAUUCACUCAUUGGUCUUCUACAUAUUUCAAGCUAAAGAGUGAGUGGAUUAUUAGAUGAUACAAUAUUAAAUCAACCUUCACCAAUUUACUUAAACUUUUAGGUCAAUCAAUGAUAUACCAUACUCGUCGAUGGUAGGAUUUGCAUUUACCUACAACAUGUCUAGUUGAGAUUCGCGUGUUUACCAUUCAAUAAAACAGGGAGGCAAUAACAUCAUUUCAGCUUAAGUUUGUGGAUCGAACUACGAGACUGUAUGUAAGUUGCCAAGUUUUUUCAUCUUGACAGCUUCUGAAAGAGUUGGAUGCUCCCGUAGAGUACAUUAUUUUACCAACAUUUGCAUAUGAGCACAAGAUAUUUGUUGGGCCGUUUUCAAGAAAGUUCCCACGUGCUCAGAUAUGGGUGGCACCAAGGCAAUGGAGUUGGCCAUUGAACUUGCCAUUGGAAUUUUUGGGGAUUUUUCGGGCUAAAACAUUGAAAGACGAGGAUUUAUCUGCUCCAUGGGCCGAUGAGAUUGAACAGAAAGUCUUAAGCUCGCCAGAAGUUGGUACAAAAAACUGCCCACAUAGUAUUACGUUGAAUCUCUUAGUUACUAUUGAAAGCUUAACUUUCUUGUUUGUUGCAGGGAUUGGACCAUAUGUGGAGGUUGCUUUUUAUCAUAAGCGAUCAAGAACACUGCUGGUGACAGAUGCUGUGAUCUUUGUCCCUAGACAGCCGCCCGAAUGCAUUAGCAAAGAAUCGUUAUUGGCAUCAGCAAAGAACGGUUUGGCAGUAAAACUAUUAAGUAAGGGAAAGGAAGUCCCUGAAGAGCAAGUUGUUGACAACAAGAACAACCGUCAAAAAGGUUCGGUCCCCUGCCUUCGACACCUCAAGAUUUAAUUCUUAGUUUAGCUCUAUCACGAUAAAAUCAAGAUUAAUUUAAGUUAUGUUUGAAGAAUUGGGGACUGGUUAUGCAGGGUGGGAAAGAAUGGUACUUCAGAUAUUGUUCCUUGGGCCUUCAAAUCUCUUGGAACCUAAGGCUAGUUUUGCUCAAAUGUCACAGAAGCUUAUUGUUUCACCCAUAGUAAAGACUCUUGUCUUCAGCAAAGUUCCUGAAAAGGUAAUCAACCACAUAUCACAAAUUUUCUCCUUGAAAACCAUAUAUGCAAAAGGAUUAUAAAAGUUCGGUAAAUCUAUACCUUUUAAUGUCUCAUACUAAUUCUGCUUUCAGGUAAGGGACUGGAUUGAUAGAAUUGUCCGAGAUUGGAAGUUCAAGAGAAUCAUCCCUGCUCACUUUGCAGCUCCAGUAAAUGCAAGUACUUCUGAUUUCUUAACUGCAUUCGGCUUUCUCGACGACCUUUUGGGUGAGCGCUAUGUCAACCGACCUUCACUCUCCCUUCUCUUUGCAUCACUCAUGGGGAAGGCUGCCAGUUACUUUCCACCAGAUGAUAUGAAGACCUUAUCAUCACUUGACCAGUUCUUAGUAUCGGUCGGAGCCGUGAAAAAGACCGUAUCGGGCAGAAAAAGGUAGCCUAGGGAAGACAAUGUCUCAAAGAUACCAGGUAAAGUUUAGCACACUCAUAUAUAAUUCAGUAAUGUAGAUUCACCAACCAAUGUUCUAUCUCUGACACUAAGAAGGUAAUCUGUUAUUUCCAAUGAGAAAAAGGAAGAAUAUGGAAAGUGAUUUGAUAUCCAAUUAGAAGAAAAUAUAUAGUGCACAAUUCAUGGUUGCAUACUACUUUGCAUUCUUUUAUGUUUCCAAACUUCAGAGGCUAAUCAACAAAACUAGUUUGCUUAUGGAAGAAAGUAGAAAAUUUGAAUGGUUUUCUCAGGUUGACAUCUAACUCUCAGAUUGAAAAGUUUCUAAUAGGUAAUAGUUUAAUACAUUUUUCAUCAACUCAAUAUUUUUGUAGAAUUCACAUAUCUAUUUAAACACAAAAACAUUGUCAAAGUUUACAUAUUAGUCACAAAAAAUAUAAUAUUUAAAAAAUUUAAAGACCCUAAAGUACCCUAACUUUGAGUGUUUGAUCUAACUUUUGUUAUAUCUACAAAUUAUUUUACACAAUCUUUGACAUUUAGGAUUCAAUUGCUAUAUUUGCAUUUAUUGCUAAAUAGGACUAAAUUGUGAUCUUUCAUCUCGACCGUCUUAUAACAUAUUUUAUUAAGAAAAUGAUUGAGCUACGUUAUAAUAAUUGUUUUAUGAAAUGAGAACCAAACAAAGAGAUGUUUAUUUUUUUAGUAAGUUAGAAGGUUUCCUUGGUGCCAAAGUCUAAAUGGGGAAAACAUCCAAGCAAGCAAGUAGAGAAAACAGAUGGUCAACCUACCAACCAUACAAAUAUUAAUCAAAGAAAAAUGUGGAAGAUUUUGUCACAAUCAAGUUAGGUUAUUGUAAUUAAUCACUUCCAUUUUUCACCUUCUAUGUAAAAAUAAAAUUUCAACAUAGAAAGGAUUUUGAAUUAGUCAUAAUAAUUGACCAAUCACCAUCCAUACCUUUCACACAAAUUGGGAGAUUAAAUAACUUUUAUAACAUUUGACCAUAUAAUAUAUGGUAAUGAAAGUGUAUAUUCAAUGUAUAUAUUUUUCUCCCAUUUUUAAAUCUUAUUCUAUAAAGUCAAUAAGACUUUCUUAGCUUACGCAAUACAGUUUAAUUUAUGAAUCUUAUUUUUUAUUUAAACUCUACUAUCAAUUUGAUUAUUAAACUUUAAAACAUAUUUAAUAAGUUUAUGAAUUUUUAGAGUUGUAUGUUUAUCAUUUAUAUUUAAAAGGUCUUUAAAAAUUCAAAUUUAUUUACGUUAAAUAAAUAUUGAGUUUAAUUUUAUUAUUUAAUAUAUCAUAUAAUUCAAAUAAUCAAAUAUGUCAAACUUCACUAAUUUAUAGUUGAAACCCUACUAAAUACUUUUUUAAACAAUGGCACUUUCUUUUAUAUAUAUAUAUAUAUAUAAAUUUUCUUUAUAGUUCUUGAAUUUUAAAAAAAUAGGUGUUUGAAUUUUUAGUUUUUAAAUAAAAUAUUUUCUUUUUGUGGUAGAUGUAUUUAAUGUCUAAAUUUAAAAAAGUACUAUUUUAGCAUCUAACUUUUGAAGAGUAACCUUAGAAACCUCCGAUAUUUUUUUAUAUAAUUAUAUGACAAUUUGAAACAAUAACAAUAAAUUAGAGUAGAAAGGUUGAUUUUCAAAACUUAAAAAUGAAAUGCAACUAAAAAUGUAUUGAUUGAAAAUCCUAAUUUUAGUUUUGUGAAGGGUGUGAUUUGGAAAUUUGGAAGGAUAUGUAUAUUGUAUCCAACAUUGGGAAUAAGGAAGAUUGCACUUGACCAAUUAAUUUGAUCAUCCAAAAGUGUGAGCUCUUUAAUUUCCUUUUUCUUUGUGAAAGGUGGGAUGGCAACAAACAAUCUAAUCUAACCCAUAUGCAUCUUUUCAAAAUAAUUUAAAAGAAAAAAACAAUAAAAAGUUAUGGGACACCAAAGUUGUUCCCUCAUUAUCAUUAUUUUCUUGCGGUUGAAAAAAAAACAUUGGGAGAGAAUAUAUAUAUGAAAUAAAAUGGACUUUAUUUAUUGUUGUGUACUUAGAAAUUUGAAAGUAACAACUUGGUUUUCCCCCUUUUAGAUGAUAGAGUUACAAAUUUAAUAACUACAAGUUAGGUCUAACUAUAUUGUUAAAUACAUUGAAUUUGAAGCUAACAAAACUUAAAUGAUAUUAAUGUAUUUUUAAUUCACUAGACUUAUUAAGCAAUUUUCUUAGACUUGGUUAUUUAUUUCUAAUACAAGAAUUCUCAAACUCUUAUGUUAAUUAUUGAAUUAUGAUAUUGUGACAUAAAUAAGAAGCCAAAACUUGGCGGGAAAGGUAAUUUCUCUUAUAAGAAAGCAAAAUUAAUGUGAAGAUGGAUUUCUUUGGGAAAUUGAGGAAAUACCAUCUAUGGAAGAUUGGAAAUUAAAGUUUGAACAAAACCCGUUUUUGUUUUCUAUGAAAUAUUAUUAAUUUUGAAUGGAUUCGGUUUCAUGGGUUCCUCAAAAUCAGAGCAGGUUCCUUUUUUUCUCCCCCACUGCAACCGAUUCCUUUUGGAGGGACCCUUUUCUCUGGCUGAGAGCUAUUUCUCCCCCUUUGUUUUUAACUUACAUUCUGUGUGUAACCAACGCGGAGAUGAAUAAGAAAAGCCUACCGAACGGGGAAGAAAUAGUAGUACACAGUUGCUUGCACGAUCUCCAAAGCGAUUCGAAACCGACUUUUUUGUUCUUCAUUAAACAAUUAAAGGAAUUCCCAAGACACGCUCGACUCUAAAAGACUGGACCCUUUUUUUUUUUUUUUUUUAAUUCUUUCCUCCCAUUGCUUCCAUUUUCAGCGCCGUAUUCAAUUCAUUCAUUCGUUUCUUCCUCUUGGGUUUCCCUUUUCUAUGCUUCCUGGUGAUUUCAAGACAAGGGUUUUCGUUUUUCUUGCCUAAUAACGAAGGCCCAUUUCAUUCGAUUCUAAGUUGUGCCUCUCUGACGCGGUUUUUUUUUAUUCGGUAAGUAAAUAAUGGAUCAUUUUUUUAUUUGUUUCUGAAAUGGGGUUGUGAUUUUUUUUUCCUGUUCGGUUUCCGAAUCAUCGAUAUGCUGGUUUGUCUGAAAAUAUGCCCUUUGGGUGUUUGGUUAAUGGCCAUCUCGUGUUUUCUUCCUGUUUUGUGACGUUGAUUGCUAUGAUUAUUGACCAUUUUAAUAUGGGGCUCACAUCCUUGGGUCGAGCGUCGAGUGCUUUAGUUUCCUUUCUGCCUUAAUGACCGAGAUGGGUUCAAUUGAUAGAAAAGGGGAAUGUCAUUGGACUUGAUCUGGGUUGUGCUCUGUUUUUCAGUUUAAGAUUAAUGUAUUGGAAUUGGAAGGGAUUGGUAAUGUCUCCAAUUAUUAUGGGUUGAUUUUGUCAGGUUCUAUCUUGUUUCUUCUCAAACUUUUGAGUUUGUCCAAGCAUUAGUGAUGUUUGUCCUGUGCGCGAGCUUGUCUGUUUCUAGCAUUUCCUGUUCACUCUAUGGCAGAAUUCCAGGGACAAGACAACCUUUGUCUUCUUUCUUGUGAUUUCAUACUGACAUUUGUAUUUACGUCUUACAAUUAUUUUGCUUCCUAUGUUGGAUGUUUUACAAACGUGAAAGGGCGUUUCUUGUUCAUUGUUCAUGAAGCUUGUGGGGAAUAAACUGAUUCUUUUUCAGAAGGAUCAUUUUCAUCUAUGGAUUCGUUUUCUUCCUUGGAUGUAAAUUGUUGCAUUUAAUUUUAUAUUUGUCGUGUUUUUCUGUCUUUCCAUUUAUGUUAUUGAUGUUUUAAAGGGUGAUAUAAAUGCUGAUUAAUAUAACGUCUUUGUUUUGUUUUCUAGUUUUUAUUUUGUAAGAACGCAUGGGGUUAACCUUGAUGAGAAAGUACUUAUUGUAUGAGUUCUUGUACUUAUAUAUAUGUCUCUUGGAGUUAUUUUGAGCACUCAAUUUCUAUUUUUGAGCAAAAGUGUAUCCUUUUUUAUGAUGGUAGUUGGUAGUCGUUGGAGACUUGUGUAGCCCUUUUUUUUUUCUUUUUUCCUGCUUGAUAUAUUUAUUUGUUUCUCAUAUGAUACCUCUAGUUGUUGAUGCUAACCAGUUUCAAUAUUGGUUGCUCGAGACUGAGAUUCUUGGGGAAAUUUUUUUGGACCACUGAAACCAUCGUUAUGAUUAGAUCUUGUUUGGUUUCUACUAUUCAUCUUGCCUUCAAAUUGAUCCACGUCAAGAACUUUCUAUUAAGCCUGUUAAGUUAUUAGUGUGCUAUUGUUUUUAUUCAGGUGCUGUGUGAAAUUCUGAUGGCUGAGAAGGGUGAUGUGCCGGUGACUCUUGAAACGAUUGGUACUCCUGGUACUUAUCCGAGAAGAAGCUCUAUGGGAUGUACAAGUUAUUCAAAUAGUGUAGAAAAGCUUGUGCCUAAUUAUCUAAGAGCAUCUACUGGUUCCUGUCAUGAUUUUUGCAAAUAUGGAAGAAAUCACGGUUUCGAAACUAAGUCAAGACUACCAUUGCGCAAAAUUUUGGGGAGAAAAUCACUCGGCGGUGGAAUUUCUGUCGAUGGUAUUGUACUUCCUGAGAGAAAGAACACAACUUCAACUUGGGCCAGUGCUGAUUUUUCAUCAACCUCCAGAUUAUCUGAAACCAAGUCAAGACUACCACUGCCCAAAAAUGUGGCCAGAAAAUCACUUGAUGGUGGAAAAUCGGUAGAUAGUGUGAUACUUCCUGAAAGAAAGAAAACAACUUCGACUUGGUCAUCGACUUCCAGGUUAUCUGAAACCAAGUCAAGGCAAUCAAUGACCAAAAAUGGGGCAAGAAAAUCACUUGAGGGUGGAAGUUCAGUAGAUUGUGUGGUAUUUUCUGAGAGAAAGAACACAACUUCAACAACACGGGCCAAGUCUGAGCUUUCAUCCACUUCCAGAUUACAUGAAGUUGAUUCAACUACCUUCUCGAAGCCUAAAUUGCCAGUAGAAUCUCCUAUCUUCCCAACUCCAGUGCAGAGAGAAAUUCCAAAUAAAAGGAAGAAGAAAUUGCUGUCUAGUCCGAAGCAGAGAGAAGUUCUCAAUGAGAGGAAGAAGAAAUUGCUGCCCAGUCCGAAGCAGAGAGAAGUUCUCAAUGAGAGGAAGAAGAAAUUGUUGGUUGAGCCGAGAACUUUGCCUACUUCAAGGUCAAGUACGAAAAAUUCCCUAAAGAACUUGAAGCCUGAAGCGUUCACAGCUACUAGAAGGCAAGAAGAUUCUGUGGUUCAAGUUUUUGCAAAAGCCAAAGGUAGAGAGUUACCUGAAAAGUCUGAUAAAAUUUUGAAACCAAAGUCUAUCAAGGUAAAGCCAUUGAGAUCUGCAGGGUCUUUGGACAACUCAAGAAAGAAAAGUUAUUCGAAAAUGGGCAAAUGUUUGGAGACAUCAAAAGGAGCUGCAAAGAAAGUGGUGGCAGCGUCAACAGGUUCAUAUUCCUCGAACUCUAUCCAUGGAGCUGCAAACUUAACCGCAAGAAAGCAUGUUGGUAACUUGAAAGGUGUCCCACUUAAAAAUCGUAACAUGAUCAAAAAAUCUGAACGUGGACAAGUCCAAAGUGAAGAGGUCCAAGAGAAAACCUUCCAGAGUGAAGAGGUCCAAGAGGAAACCUUCCAGAGUGAAGAGGUCCAAGAGAAAACCUUACAGAGUAAAGAGAUCCAAGAGAAAACCUUGUAUGUCAUUAAGAUAGAAAAUGAGAAAAUACCCCAGCAACCUGAUCAAGAUGAAACUAAUGACAACAUGGAAGCAGUGUCAUCAUUGCCACCUGAAUCGCUCUCACCACCAAUAUCCCCAGCUCUUUUGCCAAAUGUAGAAGAUCAAGAUGUAUCUGAAUACACAGAAAGUGAAGCAGAGAAUGACUUUUACUAUGAAGGAGAUGAAAUUGGAAGCAGUGAACCAGAAGAUAAUAUAACUUCAAGUGAAGGUAGUGAAAAUGGCAGAUCUCGAAAUCAUGGGAUUUUGCCAUCUAAAGAAAAGGAUCCUCGAUCUACAAAACUAAGUUUCAGGAGGGGAAGAGUUAUUGACAUCCAUUCUGAGAGUAAUAGUCCGAGAAGGCUUAAAUUUAGGCGUGGAAGGCUGUUGGGGGAGAAUCAAAAGGCUGGAGAUGGCCUUAGGAAGAACUUCAAGAGAGGAAAAGAAGUUGACAGUGAAACCAAUACCACAGCUCAAGAAACUGUUGUUUUGAGGCACCAAGAUGUGCAAGGGAAAAAAGAUGCGCAGGGCUUGUUCAACAAUGUUAUUGAAGAAACCGCAAGUAAACUCGUGGAAACUCGAAAGAGCAAGGUUAAGGCCUUGGUUGGUGCAUUUGAAACUGUGAUCUCCCUGCAAGAUGGAAAACCUUCUCUCGAGUCUUGACAUUGUCAAUUAUGACUGAGAAGUUGAGCUUGACUUAAGUAUCUAACUGAUCUGCAUAGAGUGGUAGGAAAUAAAGCUCAGGUUGAAAAAGACUACAUGAACUUGGCCAGCUGAGACUGCAGUAGCCAUAGAAAUAGAUUGCUGUUUUUAUUGAUAGGAAGGUUUCUGUACACAGUUAGAUAGUGUUUGAUUUUGUUUAUCUUUUUCUGGGUAAUCUUCUGCUCCUUAAUAACCACUCGUUUAUACUGAAUUGGCAUUAUUGAUUUGUGAGUUGCACAUAAAAUAAGGGUAGGCUCAUGACUUCAUGUAUUUUUUAUUGACAGUUAUCUGCCAACUUUGCAUCUUUUAAUUGUAAGUCGUGACUUUCUUUGGUUGUGAAGGAUUGACACCUUUUUUUCAUUCAUUGUGUAGUUGCUUAAUCCCCUAUAGUGGAAGGUUUCAGCAUCUCAAGCAAUCCUUGUUGAAUAAGAUUAAAAAGAAAAAAUCCCAUGUACUUCCUCAAAUCCAUGGCCAUGGAAUCAACAUCUAGAUAUAUAUUUGGUUUAAUAAAUAACUAGCAUAAGGUAGAAAACCUCAAUAAUAUUACACACUUCUUUUUUCUCAAGAAAGAGCAGUGAGAUUGGUUGCUUCAAAUUUUUGUGCUGAUGGCGUAAAGUAGUUUUUUGUAACCCCAAGAAUUAAUUAGAAAAAACCUUCCUAUGAUAAAAUUAGAGUUAACUUAAGCAAAUUGUUGAAAGGGAAAAUUUAUGGUAAACUCAAUUUGAAAUUUGGAAGCUUACUAGAUUGGAAAAUAUCUAAACAUUGGAAGAGGUGUGAAGCAACAUAUUUCAUAAUUAAAUACCAAUUCAAUUAUAAGAUUAGUACAAAUUUGAAAACAUUCAAACUUAAUUUAAAAUUGGAAAUUUCAAGACCUAAGAUUUUAUUUAUUUAUUUGAGACAGGGCUCGCCAGGUUAAGUGUGGUAAAAAUGAAUUUUUUGUAACCUCAUCAUAUCAUAAUUUUUAUUUUAUUUUAUAUUUUGUUCUAAAAUGCAAAUAACUUCAAUAUUUUUUGCUUAAAAGUUAUAGGUUUUUCCUAUUAGUAUUCAUUCAAGCAUACAAGAAAGAAAAUCAAAGAAAUAUUAUCAUUCCUUGUUUGGGAAACGUAUCAUGAAGUUGGGGUCUGGGCCCAAAUGGUGAUACAGUUUGAAGAAGAAGAAGAAAGGUAAACAACUAACUGCAACUUCAAGUAUAUAAAGCUUUCACCACAAACAUUUGAGAUAGCAGAAGAGUUACACAAAAUCAAUCUAAACAACAAAUGAAGCUAACAAUGGACGUUGAAAAGGCAACAACCUUUCAUAAUAGAUCACCAGACAUUCAUUCAACUGCCAUGAAUCUGAUCUAACAACUGGCUUUUGUCGAUAAAUAUCCCAUCGUCUUCGCCAUCUUUGCUACCUCUGUCUGUUUCUUUUUUCUUUUUUCUUUUUUUUUUCUUUUACUUUUACUACUGUGAAAACAAUAACACAAGCUCCAGAAAAAGCUUCUUCAACUGAUUCCAAGCUGUUAUUGGCAUCAGAACUUUGAAAAGGAAAAAUUUGCUAUCUUUAUGCACUCAAAAAUGGCGUCGAGAACUUCCACAAGUUCCGUUUAUAGUAUAACACAAACACACUUGUUUUGUGUUGCUUGUUCUCCAGCUUUCUUUUCUGCUCAGCCAAAGAAAAUAAACUUUCCAUCAGUAAUCCCAUUCGAACCUCAAUGUCUCAAUAGCCUUGCCUUCAAUAUGUAGCAACAGCUACAGCAGUUUUUUACAGACAUGUAUGGGACUGAUUCUACUAAAAUCGUUAAAACCACUUAUGCCAUAUUUCUAAUCACUUCCAAAAUAUAUCUUUAAUCACUCAAAAUUUAUUUAAUAUUUAAUUUUACACUUUUAAAUGCAAUUUUGAUAUCAUCAAAAUCGGUUUUGAAUGAUAAAGAGUAUAUUUCAAGGUGAGUUUAACCAUUUUAGAAUCUCUCUCAAACAUGUCCGUCAAUACUAAAGAAUAAUUGUCCUGACGAUAUGCUUCUUCCUAUCAUAUUUUCCACAUCCUUCGAGCAAAAUAAGAAUAAUUGAAUAUGCAUAUACUCAUAACAACGCAAAGACAUCUAGACACAUCUAUUAUAAAACCUUUGAAAGAUAAAAGCCAUUCAGCUGAACUCCAAAAGUUCUGAAUAGUUUUAUGUUCUAGAAGACAACUCUAAUGAACAGUCCAAAUAGCAGAUUCAUCCAAAUAAUUUUUUAUCCCUAUGAUUCAAAAAAGGUUAAAAUUUAGUCCUAGUGAUUUGAAAAGUUAUAAUUUAGUAAUGUCGUAAGUAGGCUAUAGGGUUGGAUUUAUGAAGGGUUUAUCAAAUCAUAGGGGCUAAAUUUUAAAUUACUACAAACCAAAGGGACCAAAUUUGCAAUUUAACCUUAAAUCAUUGUCAAACAAUUGAAGUGGAACAAAAGGAAACUUCAAAAUACAGCAAAAGAUAAUUCCAGACAAAUCCAAGUGAGAUGUCAAAAAAGCAACAUUCAUUCUAUCUUAAGUCAUUGAUAAUUUAAACUUUUAUCGGACAGAUUAUACCUUUCUCCAAAGUUGGUGGUUGGAUAACGACAUGCAUGGUUGUCACACUGCCAGGAAUGUCAUAUAAUGGGCUUCUGCAAUCAUUAAGUGUUCUAUUAUUCUCUAAGAUUUUUCCUGCACUUAUUAACUUCACAUCCUUAACUGUUCUUGGACCAUUCUCCUUUUCUGCUCAAACAAAUAACUGUGAUUACUCGUACCUCAGGAAAAGCAAUAAUAAUUGUGAUCACUCGUCCUACAUUUACAAUAGGAUGGUAAAAAAAAAAAAAGAAAAAGAAAAAAGAAGAAACAUUUUAAAAUCUAGCCAGUGUUAGUGCAGUAAACAUAUCCUCCUUAUUGCAUUAGCUAAUAUCGAAAUUCUCAUUAAUCUAUGGUGACAGUGUUGGGAGGACAAUGGAUAUGACACUAAACCGUAUUGAUAAAUGCUUCCGCAUGGUGGUAUUAGAAGAUUUACCGUCUCAGGGAAAAACAUAAUGAGUCUAUACUAUAUAUAAGCUAAUCAGAAUCACAGAUUCAAGCUAUAGUGAACAAGACACUAAGUCGUUCAGGUUCCGAGAGCAUAGACAAAGGAAUGUGAUGAAUACAAGAGGUUGAAAAGUAAUCAAAUGGAUGAACACAUCGGUAAGGGUAAAAGGCCUAGGAGAGGCCUCCUGAUCAAGUUCAAACCCAAGAGGCAUAAAUAUAUUGCAAGUUGAGACAAAAUAAAAAAGGAAAGAAAGGAGAAGAUCCAAAGUAAAUGGGAAACAAAUAGCAUUCUUCUAUUAAGAAUGUGAUCAGGUGACAAAGAAUCCAACAUUCUCUAAUAGAAUCUCUUUCAAAGAGGCAUAAAAUCUAAUCAAUAAGUUCAAGAUGCUUAUAGAAGAUCCAAAAUAAAACAGACAUCAUGGAUUUUUAUGCACCAGUACGGAUUGUUAAACGUUUUCCCCCGAUCAGGGUGUAAUGUCUCUUCGGAAAUGGCAACAAUAAGAACGAAGAAAAUGCAGAGUUCUACAUCAGAUCAGAGCUUUACUCGUGUUGUGUUUCGUCUAAAGAUUUUCUCUGAUUUUGAGUAAAUGACGAAACAGACGCCAAUAUGCUGAAAAUGUUUAAACUUAAAUAAUUCAAUUACAAACAAAGCUACAAGAUCAGCAUAGGAUAGGAUUUCAAGUAAAAUCAACCACCCCAAAAGCCAAAACUAAGAGAGAAGAGUUCAAAUUUCACGCACCUCUUGGCCAUUGUGCAAGAAUGCUUUCUUUUAAGGUUGCUACGCUUGUGGCAGCAGGGAAAGUUUUGGGGCCAAUAUCAGAUCCAUCGUUCAGUCGAAACUUGAUCUCCAACUGAUCUCCCACUCCAGCCAUAUUGACUUGUGUCUUCAAUCAAUCACAAACAAAUUGGAUUUCCCAAGAAAAGAAAUCAAAAAAAUCCCACCCGAGUAUUCGAAUGCGGUUAAUUAGCAGAAUUUUUUUCCCCUCAGACUCUCACAAGGGAGAUUCUGCAAAAAAGAGAGAAACCCAGAAAACAAAAGUCAAUUUCAUUGUAAGUUGUAAAUCAUAAAAGAAGAUGCAACAAUCAGAAGUAUGAAGCAGCUGCAUAUCGAAAAACAAAACGAACUUUAGAUUUCAAUCUUAUAUCUAGAAGGAAGAGAAAAAUAGCGACAAAAGCAAUCAAUCAGUUGCGUCUUCCAAAAGACUAGAUAUAUUCCAACAAACAAAUUCACUCAAAGAAUUCCUUUCUAUUUCUAAGACACAACAAGCAAGAAAAGAAAAAGAAUUACGAACACUGUUAAAGCUAAAGAGCAACGACUCAGGCUCGGCUAAAACACUUCCUGAUUUCAAGAUAUGGGUAGUUUCAGAAUCGCAAAAAGAAAUCGAUCCUCAAAACUAAAAUAAAAACAAAAGAAAAGAAAACACCCCAUAGAAAUUGAUUAACCUUAACCGCUAUGAACUCGGCUGAAAAAUUGAUCUGGGUACUUGUCUUUUUUCCCACAAACCUUGAUUCAGAGGUUGAAAGUGAAGAAAAAACAAAAGCUCUAUGAAUAAUAAUAAUACAAAAACCAGUUGAAGAGAUCAAAGAAGAACUCAGAGACGAGGCUCCUCCGGAGUUUUCAAAGUCUUCUAAAUCUGGGGUCAAUGACUCCAUUUCUUAAAAGUUGAUUUCUUGAUAUUCCCAAAAAUUAAAAUCGAUUACCCAAUCGUAAUAUUUACGCGUAUUUUAAACAGCUCCGAGGAAGUAGAAAACGCCACAAUUCAAACUUUCUAACAAAAAUACACAUUACCCAUUACCUAAAAACAUUGCAAGAUUUAUACUUUACUUCUAAAUUUAAUUAAUUUUCCCCCGUAAAUUCACCUCAAAGCUCAAAAAACACAAACCCAAAACAAAUCAUCCAUGUGAGUAAUAGAAAAGAAGAAAAGGUUUAGAGAUGAACUAAAGUGGAGGGUACCAAAUCAUUCAAGAAUAGACGUGGCAUAUAGGUAAAAGGGGGAUUGAUUAACAAGAACGAUUCCAAUAAAAUCAUGAAUAAAACUAUCUAAUAUCUUUCUAACGUUGUUAGAUGCUUCGCUUAGUUUGCUUUGGCCAUUAAUAAUUUAGGAGCCCUUUUAGAUUCCUCCGUUAGGCCUUGGAAGAAUCAAUCAAUUGGUUAUUUAAUGUGAGAUUAAGUGCAAUUAAUCCAUCAAUUCCAUCAUUUUAAUUACAAGAAGAUAAUGUUAAACAAAAGAAAAAUGCCAAGAGGGUCCAAAUCAAUCUCAAUGUGGCCAAUUUCUCUUCAAUCAGUUUUGUGGAAGAGAAUUUUAUUUGAAUUUUCUUUUCCUUUUUCAUCUAAUGUCUUUUUUUUUUGUUUUUGUUUGAGGCAACUAUUUCUUCACAAACUUUUGAGUGUUGUAUUGAUUUGAAUCUCUCAAACUUUGAGUGUUGUAUUGAUUUGAAUCUCUCAAAUUCUGUAAUAAAUUAGUGUGCACCCUUUACUAGUAUUUGUUUGAUCAAUAUCGUGUGAAGCUUAUGAAUGUGUGUAGACUUCUUCAAAUAUUGGUUUCAUAAAAUAGACGAUAUUAAAUAGAUGCAUGGAUAAUUCUGGAAGGAAAAUUCACCUAACUAUCUAUAUUGGUCAAUUCAUGAAAGUUUAAAGAUUUAAUUAAUACAUUACGUAAAGUUGUAUGAUAAAUUGAUAUAUUCACAAAAGUUCUAAAUUGACACACCUCCUAAGUUCAAAAACAUAAACCAAUAUUUUGUACUCAGUAAAAGUAGAUAUCUCAUGUGUCUAGUCAAACCAUGUCUGCUUUAGUUAUUACCCAACGUUAAUUCCUAUUGAAGACUCACUUUCUUGCACUAUGCUCCGUGUCUCAAUCCACUAACUCUGAGAAAUUAAUUAGUGAAAAUUUACUCAUCUUUCAAUAGAUAAUAAGGGCUCUAAACUACAUUAUUAAGUCUUGAAUUUGAAGUAUGAGGAAUUUAAAAGGGAAAAAGUGAACAUUUUAAGUGGCAUAAAAGCUUGGUGGGUUUCUUGUCAUCACCAACUUAGCAAGUUCUAUGAUAAGCAUCUUUAUUAUGUGCAUCGUUUAAUCUUAUCUUGUAGUGCUGUGUUUGAAGCAUCUAAAAACUAAUGGAGAUUCGAAUAACUCUGUUUACAGCUUUAAAGAAUAAAAAUAUUAACCAACCCAAUUAAGAGAAUCCACCUUAAUUUUGACAUUUAGACCUUCAUUACGUUAGGUACCCAAAAAAAAAAAAUGCUAUCUUGUAGUUUCCCUUUUUCAAAUGAUGAUAAUGGUAGAUGUGACAGAAUAGAAAGAAUUUUCUUCACAUUGUUAAAAAUAUAUCUGGUACAGAACGAAUCUAAAUAAAACAGAACCCAUCUAUGAAGAAUUCUCCAAUCCAAUGAACCAAUAGCCGUCAGGCCUUGUCCUCAAAGUCAUCAUAUAUUAUCAAAUACAAAAUAGAAAACAUGGUACUAUGAAAUAUAAAAGGAUGAAGGGCAGACAAUUAUUGUUCGGUGACCAACCAUAUGGAGAAGCACUCACCGAUGGACCUGUCCUAGCCUUGCUCGUGCCUCUGUAGAUAACAGCUAUGUGAUGGGAUGUUCGGUAUUGUAUGCAUUCUGCUAUAUUCCAAAAUAUACUCAUGAGAACCAAGGCGGUAUCCUCAGCAACUAAGACCAAAUGAAUUGCUACAUUACGAGUUGAUGAGAGAAUCCCAUGCUUAUGCAAACAUAAUGGUCUCAGUCGGGACACAGGCCAUACAGCAAUAUAACUCGAUCUAAAACAUUGCGUAAUGUGGCUCACCGUGUCAUGUAUGUAAAACUCCAAAUUUCUUUAGCCGAGUAGUAAUAGUUCCAGAGUAACAUAGUUUGGUUCGUUAUGGCGUUCUCUCUCUACCUUUUACCUCCUAUAGUUCGUGAAUUAUGACUCUAAAAUGUGGCAGUUCCUGAUGAAAUCAUUAGAAUAGUUGACAUACUUGGUCCAAAAUGGCCGGAGAUGCUCAAAGCCAAUCUGUAGCCAUGGUUUAGAUUGGCCAUUGUAGUGAAUAACUGCAGCUUUCUUCACAUUCUCAAUGUUUGUUUUGUUUUGAUAUCCCAAGCCAAGCAUGUGCCAUGAGGGGUCAAUUGGAUGAAUGUGACCUCUAAAUGCAAUUAAAGCAGGCGGUAGUGUACCCAGCCUCCACAAUGUCAGCGUUGACUUAAGAUUCUGCCACAUACAAAAGAAGCCAUUGAUCCCAGAUCAUCACAGAAUUGCAUCUUUAAUCUUUAGUGAAUAGAGACAAUCAUGCAAUCACCAAACAGAAUGAAUAGAAUGCCAUAUGGUAAAUGGGAUUGCCUACAAUAAGCAAUAGCAAACUCAAGAAAUUAAAUUAAUCCUACACUAAUAAUGAAUUUGCAGCAUACCUCUCUCAGCCACCAGUGGUAGGUUUCUGUUAUAUUCGACUCUCUCCAGACACGAAGAUCAAAUAUGUUCAUGCCGUAUGCCCAAGCACAUUCAUUAGGAUCUAAAUGCGUUGCUACGAGGGGGUGGGAAAAAUUAAAGUAGAUCUUGAAUCGCUUUGACAUAACCCACUCAUCAUCACCUUUACAAGUUUCAACAGCUCCAUUAACCUUUCCAUCGAGGUCAACGUCCCAAAGCGGAGACAGAUCACGUUGAAUUACAACAUCAUCAUCUAGAAAGACCACCUUGUCCAAUUUGGGGAAGAGCUGUACAUCAUAUGAAGAACGAUAAUUUUCAAAAUCUCAAGUGCAGUGACAACGAAAUAGGAACAAUUCAGGAGCAGAAAAAGACUACCACAUUGUACAAGUUCAUAUUUAAAUCCAAAAUGUUGAAAGAACGGAGUACUGACUUACUAGAUAUUCAUGUAAAAUAAUGUUUAUUAUCCAUAAUAUUCUUCAAAGGGCUUGGGGUUAGCCAUGGUAUUUAGACAAUAUUUCCAAGUAGACUUGAUCUAAGAAUAUGAAACCUAUAGAAUUGUCCCGGCAAGAAAAAUGGUCCCGCUAAUAUGCCCCUUAUUGAAAGUUCAAGGAAACCAUUUCUUGAUAUGUGUUACAAAUAGAUCUUUGAGGUUUUUGAUAAUCAUUAAUCAGAGUCAUGGAUAGUGAUAACUUAUAAUUUCAUUUCACAUAUAAAAUUGUCUGCUCGAAACCAAAACUGGUGAGUGAUGGUAAUGAUGCCAUUUAUAACUUGUUUCCAUGAGUUAUAUAUUUCAAAAAUAGACCACCAGAGAGAGGGAAAAAAGGGACUCCCCCCCUACAGCAUCGAGAUUACCUGAGGUAUGUACAUGCGGAGAUGGUUAAGUAAGGAUAUGUAUUUGGGACUUCGAACCAGCAAUUUUGAGGCAAACGCUCGAGGAGUUGUAUUGGUGUGGUUGGUCCCUACAAUAUUAUGAUUUCCAUGGUAGUAAUUUCUGAUUCCUUCCUGGUUUUCAACAGCCUCAAGCACUGGAACAUUGUCCCUUGUUAAGUAGUCGAAAUGGUGAGUGCCCUUAACUUCGACAGUAGCUGGGUAGACUGGAUUUAAAGCAAACCAUGAGUGCAUCCCUGCAUAAGUCUUCUUGUCGGUAAUGACAUGGAAAACUAUCUUUCCAGGACUGAGAGAUGAUUGGACAGCAGAAUUGACAACAACUGAAGCUGCCAAAAUGUUAUCAGUAGACAAAAUAAAGUGUUGGUAUGUAUUAUCAGAGAGCAACGGCAGUAACUCUGGAGGAGGCAGUUGAUUGCGUGCAUGAACAUUUGAUGAGUAUUCGUCAGUUAACCGCAGAGAUAAACAAUGAAUUCCUUUAGGAAUGGAACUAGCUGCGAAGUGUUUGUUCAUGAGCUCUGCAUAUUUGGACUCCCUUAUCUCCUUUUCAAAUCUCUCCAUCUGCGAAAAUAAUUUUUUUUUUAAAAACAAAAGAUCCCGCUGACCGAAGUACAAAACUUUUUAUGAAGGGCAAAAUUUUCAAAAAUGAAAUAAAUACAUACAAAUCGACUUGGCUGGUUUAUUAACUCUAACCUCCAUGAAAUUUCAUUAUCCUCUUUCUUUCUUUCUUUCUUUCUUCUUCCUUUUUUUUAUAAAAAAACAAAGAAAACUAUCCAUGAAAUUCCAUUAUCGUUCUCUCUCUCAAUCACUGACAGACACUGGGGAGCCUUAAUAUAACUAUUGGCUAAAGAUACACCAAAUCUUACUCCCCACUUCUGUAUAAUUUGCUUUUCUAAUACAAAGUUCCAAAUCCUAUCAAAGUAUUCUCUUUGAGAUCGUGUAUAAAUAGAAGUUUAUCUUUUCUUUUUGGAUGAAGAUAUAUAAAUAGAUAAUCAAUCUCGCAGAAGGCUCCAUCUUGGGAACACAAGUGGAUUCCAUCCCAAGAAAGUUGUUGAGUGAUAUGUACUGGAACUAAUCUCUUUGAAUUAUGGAUGAGUUGAAGAGAAAAUCUUUCAAAAUGCUCCACUGCCAAGUUAUACUUAAUAAGAGCUUUUCAGAAAAAUAAAAAAAUAAACAAAGGUCCGUACAAAAAGAUAAACUAGAUAGCAUAUGUAUUGGGUACUUUCAGGGUGAGUAACCAUUAAUUUAUUUUGAAAUUCCUUUUGGAUGAGGUCUAAACACAUUCAGUUUCUACAAGAUAUUUAACAAUAUUUAUUCUCUACAAGAUUUAUUCUCAAUAUUCUACAAGAUCUAAGCACAUAAUUAGUUAUUCAACAGUAUUUAUUCUCUACAAGAUUCUUGGAUUUUUCCUUCAGAAGAAAUUCUUUGUUCCUAUAGAGUCAGCUCAGAACAUUACACUCUCUUCUCUAACGGCAGACAAGGUUGGUAAAUAAAUCUGAUCAUUUCUUUUCAUGAUAUCCACUUAUUUCAUAACUUGAAGGUUUCCUUUCCUUUAUUUGGUCCCUGAUCACUUUGUGGUCUGCAAAAUUUCUUGAAGUCAUUAACAGUCCCCGUAUCGAAAGAAAUCCACAGAUAACGGUUUAAUUUGGAGCACCCUACCAACUCCAACCAAUUUCGAGAAAUCUGUUAAACAACCAUUGUUACUUUCUAACUCAAUAUUCGAAAGAAGGUUUUCAACUUCCUUCUAUCGAUUUUCCUUUUAUUUCCUAAGACCCAGUCUAAGUUGAGGAAUUCCAUAAAUGAAUGCUUUCACAUUUUCUUACAAAGGAUAUAAAAACCUAAGAACACCCAAGAUUUGGCAUCCUCUAGCUAAAAAAGAUCACAGAGAAAAUAUUGAUCAUGUCUUCAUGAUCAUUUAUUUUUAAAAGUGACAACCCACCUGACCCUACAACAUUUGAGUGUCAAGGAAACUCGUAGAAAAUUAAUUCCUAGGUAGGUGACUACCAUGUAUUGAACCCUUGACCAUAGCCAUUUAUUGAGACUAUGCCUCCUUUUUACCAUUGUGCCAAUCCAUGAUGGUUGGAUGUAUUCAUGCUCACAUACACAACAAUGAACAAUGAGGUUUCAACUUUCAAGAAGGGCAUGUUCCUCGAAAAGUUAACAUACUGUUGCAUAUCACAAAUAGAACUACUUAUUAAUGUAUAGCUUACAGUAAAGAAUUUUUGUUUCCUAUACAUGUCUUAGAUAAAGAAGUGAGGAUACCUAUAUUUCCUGGGUUACUCAAAUGCAUACCUAUUGAUAGACUAUAAGCCAUAAUCAACUUUUAUGAAAUGAGACUAUCGCAAACAAAAACUCCAGACUUUGGCAGGUUUGAGUGAAUUUAAUCCAAUCAUUCCAUUACACUUUUCACCUUAUGAGGCUUGGCAGGGCAUAAAAGUAUGAAUAAACUUGGGCCCCUGUUGACUUUUUUAUCUUUACCAUACAGUGAAAAUUGAAAAAAAUUAUAAACUUCACAUACCAUGGCCUUCAGGAUGAAAGCAAAUGUUUUUGCAUCAUGACGGUUGUCUUUCAUCUCUGAAACUAACUGACUAAAGGAAUCUGGCAACUUUAGACCAUCUGGUAUUUCCUCAGUGCUAACUUGGUUGAAUACCUUGUAAAAUUCACUCACCAAUCUCUGCUGCAUACGAUUGCCAAUUACAACAAUAAAGCUUUGUUUUCCAACAAAAGCAAAAUUUGAAACAGUCCAAAAAUUAAAUGCUAUAAAACAAAAAGGCCAUGGAAAGCAAAAUAAAAAAAGGAAUCCGGUAAUCACCUUUGAAGCAUCAACCCUACCAAGAAGGCGAGGUCCCCAUGUCCUGCCAAAACAAUCUAGCAACAAAAAAGAAGGGAACUAAGGACACAGAUUACUAUAAUUAAUAGAAAUGAAUGGUGAAAUGCCAAUUACAAACUUUAAAGUUUUGUUCAAAAUGGUCACGGUUUCUAUUCCCCAAAAUGUCAUUUCCUGUUUUAAUUAAAAGCCUCGUAGUUCCAUCUAACCAGUUAGGCUUCUUUAUAUAUAUAUAAGCCUCAUAUUUUUAGAAUAAAAUGAUUAUGUAGCUUAUAUGAAUACAACCCUAUGUUCUCAAAUGAGAUUAAGGAUUAAUUCAAAAAGUUGCUUAAGUUUGUAUAAUGUUUAAGCUAUUUUUUUGCACUUUGCUCUCAACUGUCUUCUCCUUGCUCAUUGUGUUUGCAGUUUGCACUGCACUAGCUCAGACAAGCCAGACCAAAUUUUCUUAUUUUGGUAGCUAAUCAUCAGAAUCUAAGGGUCAUUUGCAUCACUGAGAGACCUCAUGGAAAUAGUAAUGCAGAUUAAUGUACACAAGAAAACUUAGCCUCAAUAUAGCCUAGAUAAGAAUUUGACCCCAAAAUAUACAAAAUACAAAACAAAACUUUAUAAAAAAAAUAAUAAAUUGGAUUCGUCAUCCACGGUCAUCUCUAAUAAAAUAAAACAAAAAAAAUCAAUCAGCUUCUCCAGUGGACUCUGAAAUGACCAACAUCAUGAUAUAAAACUUUCAUAAUUGCACACCCAAAAAGCAGAUAAGAUCCAUCACAGUCAAGUUAAAAAGACAUCACUAACACAUAAACCAACACCAGAAAAACAAAUUUGUAAAUAGAAACAGUAAUAAGUUCAUUGACAGUACCCAGAGAGGAGCAGUCAUUGACACCUUCAAGCGUAACGACAGCAGUGAGAAUGAAGACGAAUGGCAACAAGAAAGCGAGUACGAGAAUGGUAUGAAAAAGGGUUCGAUAAGAAAUGUGACGAGCUGCAACUUUGAUCUUCAUAAAGUCAAUAAACCCAUUACUACUCGAGACCGUGAUGCUUCUCAUGCUAGGCGAAAAAUGAAGCCGCAUCGUCUUCUCCGCACCUUCUUCUUCAGGUCGCCACUUUUACCUGAAAUAAUCACUACCCAAAUAGCGCCAUCGAAUCUCCUCCCUCGUGGAACCACCUCCAGCAGUCUUAAACUACUGCCCAUCAAUCGAUCGACCGACAACCCAUUACGCAAAAACCCACAUUCAGACCCAAAUUGGGAUUGCUUCAGAUUGAUUUUUUUUUUCUUCUGUUUGUGGGUUGUUCUUAAAUACCGCAAUGAGCAAGAACGAAGAGAUUCCAAUUGGGUUUAGGCUAGAAAUUGGUGAAUAAUUCUCACCCAAUAAUCGAAAAUGUUGAAGAAAAUUGUGAGGCUUUCAAAUCCCAUCACUCUAGAAGAGCAUUUUGUGGGGGAAUCAUCAUCAGUUCGAUCUAAAACAAUUCAUGUUGUGGGGAAUGAAUGAAUGAAUGAGAUAAAGUAAGGAUCUGAAAUAAGAGAGCUAGGUUUGGUGUAAUGCAAUUAAAGGAACAAUUUUUCUGGUAAGCGGAGAUUUUCAUUUAUGUAUUAUUUUUGUAAUAUUAUAAGUUUGAUUGAUUUAUUUCUUCGAAUUAUUUUAGUUGUAAUAUUGUUAUCUCUAUUCUUUACGUUUUCUUUUUUUAUAUUUAUAAUUUCUAAUUAGAUGAAGUGAAAUUGAGUUAACAUAAUUUUUUUUUUAAUUACAUUAAAUCUUUUUUUUUAUAGAAUUAAUUCAUAUUUAGAUUUUUGCAAUUUUUUAGUUAAAUAAUAUUUAAGGACUAUUUUCAAAUAUAGUAAAAAUUUUAAAAAUAUUUAAAAAUAUGUUAUAUUUGUAAAUAAUUUUAAAAUUUUAACAUUUAAAACAAUUUUCCACAAAUUGAAUAGAGAAGUUAGAAAUUGAUGACAAAGAAUUGGUUAGUCUUAUUAGGUAAAAUCCAUGCUAAACAGAGAAAUAAUGUUUUUGAUGUGAAUCACUAAUUAGUUUAUAAUUUAUCUUUAAUUGGUUUGGUAGAAUUUAUUUAGGAGAAUUUUAUCUGACCAUAAAAACCAUUUAUGAGAAUUUUUCAAAUUUCGACAAACAUAUGAGUACUAAUUUCUAACUUCGUUUUAGGUGACUUCUUACAUCGAGGUUAGAGGUUUAAUCUCACACUUAGCGGUAGUCAAUGAAAUUAAUCGUACUCCAUUUAUAUGUAUAAAAAUAUAUAAUACUUCAAUCCUAAGAAUCCAAAGGAGACAGAGAACUUUAAAGUCUCAACUUUUUAAGGAUCUCUUUCUUUGUUUAAAAAUUUAGUUAAGGCUCUACUCAAUAAACAAGAUAGAUCGGCCCUUUCCAAAAGAAAAAUUGUUUGAUCCAAGGACUAAGAGACCUAAGUUUCACAUUUUAACCUUUCAACCUUUGACAAAUUUGUCAAAAAUUAUAAUACUACAAAACAUCAUAGUUUCAUUGUCCACACACAUAUAUUAUGUUAUAUUAUGUAAGUGUAUAUAUUUAUAUUUCCAGAUCUUACAAAUUGGGGACGGUGGUGGCUCUUUUAGCACAAAUUGGGGACGGAGAUGGAGGUUGGGGUGUAAAUUUGAACCAUGAACCUCUUCGUUUGCUUCACUACAUAUAUGUUGCAAAGAAAUGACAAACCAAAACGAUGAAACAAAUAGAAAGUGAGGCUUCAUUUACACAACAACACUGGCAAGUUAGUGGUCUAAGAAGGUAUUCUUCUUACAAGAAACCAAAUAAGCCUCUUGUAUUUGAUAUCAAAACAAGACAGAUAAUCAGAAACCAGAUGAUCAUACCACAACCAAUAAAGAUUUUGAAAUCUAGAAAACAAAAAGGUUAACAAAUUGGUUAAGGUUUUACAUACUCAUCCCAAAAUUUUCAGAGACUUCCUGUUCUUCAUCAAAUCAGCUUUGUUCUCCAUCUUCAAAGGUAAAGGAGCAGUGAAUGCAGAAACGCCAUUGUUACCAGUCAUCAUCUUCCUUCUAUGGUUUCUUUCUCCAUCACUGACCUCUGGAGAUUCGCCAUCUACUUCUUCAUCUCCAUGUCCUUCUUCAUCAUCCUCGGCUUCCUCAGAAAAUUCCUUAAUCUCCAUUGCUUCGUUGCAAGUAUCCUCCACAAGUUCAUCACCUGAAUCUCUUUCAUCCAUAACACCAUAAUCUUCAUGUGGAUUCUUGCUACUUAAAACUCUAGAUAAGUCUCCAUUCUCAGCAAAUCUAACACUUUUCUUCACUCUAGGUUGAAGAAUUUGAUGGUUUUUCACAAGGUUUCGAUUUCGAGUUUGAUUCUUCUCUUUGAUAGUGAUCCUAGGGGACUCCUCCAACUCUUCCUCCUCUUCUUUCACAUUAUUCUCAAGAAUUCUUGAACGCUCACAAAUCUUUUCAACUCUGUUCUUUAAUUUCUCAAUAGUUUCCUUAUGAUUCUCAUAGCAUUUAUGCUUAGGAUUAGAAGGAACCCUAAAUUUACUAACAUUUUGACCUAACCUCAGAUUUGGAAGCCCGUUUCUCUUCUUCACAGCAAAAUUAUCAAUUCGCUCCAAGAACUGAACCAAGUCUCUGAUAAGGUUCUUCUUGCUGUCUUUGACCAUUGGAUCACUACCCUGUGAAGAUCAUUGAAAAAAAUCAAAUACAAUAAAAGUAAAACAAUAAAAAGCACCCACCAAACUUAAAUUACCUGAAUGGAAUCGAGAUGGAGAAGAAAAUCCAUUAUUUCGAGAGAAAUGGCGUUACGAUCGAAGUACAAUCCAUUGGAAAACGACGAUUGUAGAGACUCAUAUCUAGACUUGAUGAUGGCGAGAUCUUUAAGCUCACUGAAAGCUCUGGAUCUACGAACAAGGAAAGCUCGAAAAUGGGUUUGGAUUGUACUGGCAGCAACAUGGCGGAGAGAUUGGGAAGGAAGAUGAGAAGCAAAAACACGAGGGAGGGAGGAUUCAAGAGCUUCGAUGCGGGAGAGAAGAGAAGAGACAGUAGAAUGGUGAAGGACUUGAGGAAUUUCUUGUUUCUUCUGAUUUUGGGGACCGAGAAACUGAUAAUGUGAUUGAAACGACUUUUGGGAACGGAGAGUUGGGUAUUGGUGAAAUUGGGCGGAUUGAAGGAUUUGAGAAGCAAGAGCUUGAAGAAGAGGGUCGGACGGAGACACCGGGAGGUGAGGAGAGGGGUGGUGAGUUUGGAAACAGGUAGUGGUGAAAUCCCCGCCGCCGCCACCGCCGCAGCAACAGGCGAAGGGAAGAUGGGUUUGGUGGAAAUGGGGUUGAUGGGGUUGAUGGGGAUGGUGAUGAGAGGCCAUUGGAGGCUUGAAGAUUGAAUCUUGAAGCUUAAUCGCUGAAUAGGGAUGGGGAUUCUUCGAGGGUUUGGAGAAAAUGGUGGUUUUGGAAGUGAAGAACAGGAAAAGAGUGCUACCACGAUCGAUGUGUCAAAAAGGGGCUUCGAUUUUGGCGAACUUUUUGUUUUUCUUUUUCUCAAGGCAACAAAAACAAUCCAAUCUUUAUACAAUUAGUUUUCAUGUCUAUUUGUUAAUUGAAGUUUUAGAAUGAAGAUUUGAUGAUAAAAUUUAAUAGAUUUUUAUAUAUAACUAUAUAAACACCAUAGAAUUGAAGAACUUAACCUAUACUAAAUUUGUUGUAAAAGUUACACUCAAUUAACAUCUACGUAUGCUAAAAUUAUGAGAUCUAUAAUUUAAAUUUGAUGCUAGUUGCAAUUACAUGAUUUGAAAAGUCCAUUUUUAGUACAACAAUUUAGUUGAUUCUACUAUUCUAUUAUUUGGAUAGUUCAUUUAUCUAUUAGUCUUUAUAUCAUUUUUCAACUUUAAGAGAAAUAAUGCAUUUUACUUAUCUAGACUCUCGUUUAUUUUUUUAAUAGCAUGGCAUAAACAUUUUAAACAAACAAUUUAAAUACUAUUUUUUCUAAACAAGUAGUAACUCAAAAUAAUGGAACAUGUUCUUUCCAAAACACCUCAAACUAAAGUCUUCUUUACAAAUAGCAAUCACAUAAUGUAUUUUACAAACAAAAAAUGCAAAAGUACACAAUAAGCAACAAAAAGAAUCAUUAACAAAAGUUUGAAGUACAAAAAAGAUAAUAUUUGCUCAUUUAAAAGUAUUUUUCACUAAAGAAUGUACUAAAAAUGUUGUGCCACUAAAAGAUAUGAGUAAAUAAGAUGUCUCCAAAAUCUUGGUCCUAAACAUUCAUGUCUUUAAUCAAAUAGAACACUUGAAUGAGGUCGACAAUAGUUAUAUCAUUCAAGAGACUAAUCACUUCCAAACAGUCAUAUUCUACCAUGACUUUCUCAAAAUGGGACAUUGAGAUAAUUGCAAGUCUCUUGUUUAAAUCAUAACUUCACUGUACUUGAUCAUGAGUCUUACAAUCGUUGAAACAUUCGUUUGGAUUUGAUCUUUAGUACUUCUAGAUACUUGAUUUUCUCUCAUAUUUUCUAAAAGCACACUUACUAGAUAUUUACACUAAAGUAAGUACACAACGUAACCAUAAAUUACAAGUUUGGCUUCUAAACCCUAAGUUCCAUAGCUUUUAUAUAACAUUCUCCUAGACAAUAUAUCAUCUAGUCUAUUUAAUCUCUACAUUUUAAAAGGUUUAAAUAAAAUUUUAACUUUCAUUUUAUAUAAGCUUUCAAGUACAUCAAAUUGGAAUAGAGAUUCAAACUAUCGACUCUAAUGAAUGUAGUUUAUGUCAAUUUCAGUCAAGUAUGUUUACUUUUGUAUAUGUUAUUGUCAUUAACUUAUUGUUUUUUUAGCUUAACAUGGAAUGGAGGCUUCAAACUAAAAUGUCUAAACCAACUAAUCAUGUAACUUAUAAAACAAUUAACAUAAGAUGCAAAAUUAACCAAAAGUGAGUUUAGCUUAACAGUAGUUUGGCAUGAUAUUUCAUUCUAGAAUCCGAAAAUUGUUGCCCUAAAAAAUAUUAGAUUGAAGACUGCAUUCAACUAGAAAUCUAUAUGUGUGGUAAAGUCGUUGGUUCAAGUGUUAAGUGUUGGUACGAGUUUGAACUUUUAAAAGUAUUGAGACUAAGGUUUAUAGUUAGAUGGAGAUAGAAUAAGGAAAAGGAGACUUUUGUAAUAGCGCAACUCAUGAUUGGGCCAUUGUCACAACGGUUGUUAAGAGAGUAAGUUAAAUCCAUCAAAACCAAAGCUCCACUGGAGUUAAUCCAACGGUCAUCAAACUGAACAUAUUUUCAAAUUUUAAUCUAACGGCCCACAAAUACUAGCCGUUACACAGAGCGUUUUCUUCUCAACGUUCCAUUUUUCCCCAUCUUCGUUUCGAAUAUAUCCUUUCCAUUCAAAUCUCUUUCGUUUCUGAAGAAUCGACCCCCCUCUCCUCCCCCUCCCCUUCACCGGCGGCGAAAAUUUCUACCCAUUUUCUGAUCUGUCUUUUAGUUUCCGGCAGAUGGGUUCAAUCGGCAAGAACGGUGGAACAGUGACCCCUGUGAAAGAAUCAACGGGAUCUAGAUCGAAGAUGAUUCAAGAAGUUUCAAGGCAUUCCGAGAAUAUGAAUCCAAAUGUUAAUGAUACGAUUAGCCCAGUUCCGAAGCUCUCGAAAUCUUCUCCUUUGAUAAAAUCUACAAAGACGGUUCAGAAAUCGGCUGCGAGAAACCCUAGUGUGGUUUUGAACUCACCGAAGUACAAGAUCCGGGAGAGGAAGUUUGUGGUGGCGAAGAAGAAUCAAAAGAAGGAGAAAACUGGGAAGUCUAAGACUGAUUGUAAGUGUGAUGUUGGAAAUGGGAGUGAUUCGAAGAAGUGUUUGUGUUUGGCUUAUGAGACUCUGAGAGCUUCUCAGGAGGAGUUUUUCAAGAAUCAGAAUGGUGGGAUUGGGGAAAUUAGGGCUGAGAUUGAACUUGAAGAAGAAAUGGAGAGGAAAUUGAUGAUUCAAGACCUUCAAAAUGAAGAAGGGAUUGAAACAGAGAAUCAUGAUGUUAAUGGAGAGAGCGAAUCUCCUGAACAAGUAAGUAGUUCGAUAAUCAAGAGGCGAAGAGAAAGGCUGUUGGAGACAGCAAGGAAUAGUGUCCCAGAAACAGGAUCUGGGAAAGUAAAGCAUUUGGUACUGGCGUUUGAGAAACUAAGAACUAUACAGGUUGCAAAGGAGGAGACUGAUGAGAAUGAGGAGAAGCAAUUAGAAAACCAAGAUAAGCCCAUUGAAGAGAAGAGCAAGGUGAUGAAAUGGGCACUGCCAGGAUUACCUCCUCCAAAGGUUAUCGAAUCAUCUUCUUCGUUUUGUCCGUCUGAGCUUUUUCUGACAUCGGAAAAUCUCGGUUUGGAUUCUCGAGCUUCGGUUUCUUCUUCUUGGGACGGAUCCCGUGGAAGGUCGGUACCUUAGUUACUUUUACCGCAGUAGUGUAUAUUUGAAGAAAAUGAAUCCAUUGUGUUAUUAUUGUCUAACUUUUGUUGUUUUCUUUCAAACUUCAGCAUUUCAAGCAGGAAUGGGGGAAGAAGAAGCAGAAGAAAUGUAAGUGAAGACUUUUGUGUGAAGAUCAUUGCUAAUGAAAUGUUGAAUGAACUGAUUGAUAAUUGUAAUGAUUGUUGUGAAUUUCAGAGCGCUGAAUCUGCAGGCACAAUUGGUGGAAGUAAAUGGAAGAAAAAGCAGCUGAAAGUCACUAGGCAGAAGCCAUUUAAGCUUAGAACAGAGGUAAAGAAAAUGGGAAUUAUUGGAAUGCAUUAAAUCUGUUAUCUGCCCUUCAAAUGUAUUUGUGUUCUUUGCCCUUCAAAUGUGUAGACUACUGUGCUAUAUAAUUAUAAACUCCUUGACUGUAUAAAAUCUCUUGCAGUCUUAGCUAAUACAUUAUUAGUAGCCACGUAAAUCUAUGUAUUGAGUCUUUAUUGUUUAAGCUGUAUAUCUUUAUUUGUCAAUUUCAUGACAAGAAUGAAUCGUGAAAGUUUCAGCUUAAUGAACAAAUUCACAAUGUUUGCUUUCCAUGUUUCUUUUUGAAUUUGCAGCAAAGAGGAAAGGAGAAGGAAGAAGAAUUUCUGAAGAGGGUACAAGAAACAAUGAUAGAGGAAGAAAAACAGAGAAUACCAAUUGCUCAAGGUCUUCCAUGGACAACUGAUGAACCAGAGGUAAAAAGAUACCCUAUUCACAUAUAACGCUUUUUCAUGUUUUUUUCUAAACUUCAGCUCUUGAACCCCACUAAUGCUUUAAAAAAUGUACAUGUCCAUUUGCGCAGUGCGUUGUGAAACCUCCAGUGAAGGAAAUUACAAGACCAGUAGAUCUGGUUCUCCACAGUGAUGUAAGGGCAGUAGAACGUGCCGAGUUCGACCAUCAGGUGGAUCUCAGAAAGAAUUUUCUAUUAGUUCCUUAUGAAAAGUUAAUAUGAUAGUCAUGGCCUGCAACCCAUUUAAUCAUCCAUGUUUGUUUUUGUAAAUGAAGGUAGCAGAGAAAUUGUCUGUGAUAGAACAAUACAAGAUGGAAAGAGAGAAGCAAGAAAAGGUAAAGAAAAAAAAAUUGAAAUGACUAUCAAUUCAAUUGAUAUUGUAUGUUGAUUUGUUUGGUUUUUUUGUGAUCAAUUAACAGAUGGCUGAGGAGGAAGAACUAAAGAGGUUGAGAAAGGAAUUGGUUCCGAAGGCACAACCAAUGCCUUAUUUUGACAGACCCUUCAUUCCUAGAAGGUACACACAUACAUACACCAAAAAGUGGUUUAAGUUUCAAUUUCACUUGAGAAACAAAAUGUCAUAAAGGUGUUUUAAUUUUUUGUGUUAUUAAAAAGGUCAGGAAAGCUUCCAACAAUACCUAAGGAACCAAAGUUCCAUAUCCCACAACAGAAGAAGAUAAAGUCCUGCUUGUCAUGGAAUGAUAUGAGCCAAUAUACCUUUCAGUUUCAACCAUGACGAAGAAGAAGAAGAAGAAGAAGAGAGGUUGAAGAAACAAUUAUGGGUUAAAAUUCUGUGACAUAGUGUUUCCCAUUGUCUCUGUCUCUCUCUCUCUGAAUAAGCAAAAUAAUGGGGUUUAGUUUUGUUGGGUUAAUAUUUUUCUGAUGAUUGUAUUCUUUGUGAAAGCCGCUGAUAUAUAAUGAAUGACAAAUGAGGCAACCGAUUAUAGUUGCUCAGAAUACUAUGUCGAAUCUUCUCUCCCUCUCCAAGUAACAAAAGAAGAAUGAUAGAAUUCUUUGUUACUAAAUCCAAAACAAAAAUGGAGCAAAUUUUUAGUGAUAUACAGUAAUGAAAAACUUCUAUUUAUUGGAUUGCUGCUGGAAGGGACUUUUUUUAAGGAUUACAUGGAUUAAUUAUUAGUGUUUACCUAAUAAAUAUUUAAUAAUUGAUAAAUUAUUGAAUAACGUAUCAAAUAAUCAAUCAAUAAAGAUGGAUUAUGUAUCAAAUAAUCAAUAAAGAUGGUUUGUGUACUCCUGUAACGCUAGAAAUUAUAUCAUAUCUUACAUCCAGCAAAUCCAGAAAUUAUGUCAUAUUACCAUCCAGCAAAUCCAAAUAUCGAACCCAUUCCUUUCAAAGAAAAAAUAUUGUUGAUGAUUAUAUUACUCAUAAUUUUUAGAAAAAUAAGCCUACAACUAUUGUUGAUCCCAUUUAAGAAUGAAAAGUCUAGAUAGAGUUCUUCAUUAAAUAUACAAAAUUCUUCUAUAUACACAAAAUUCUUCUAUAAAUGGGUAAAUUUUAAUGAUAAAUGUAAAAAGUUGAUUAAUAUAAGUUACUUAAAACGACUUUUGUAAAUAGUUUGGGAACAAAAACCAAACGUUAUGGGUUUCCAGCUCCAAUUCUUUAAAAGAAAUACAUAUGAAAUUACGUGAAUAACAUAUUAAAAAUUGUUUAGAAGUUCAAAUAACAGCCAUCAAUUCCAUAAUUCAUAAUCUAAAUCCCCUAUUACUUCACAACAUUCUCAUUAUUAAUUUUAUAAUUUCUUUUAAUCAUCGAUUUGAUGUUAACUUCUGAUAUGAUGUAUUAAAAAAAAUGAAAAAACAUCGAGUAGGCAGCAAACAGCAAACUCUAUUGAUAAUUGAUAUGAUAUGUCAAAAAAUUACUACAAAAGGUCCGUUUCUAAGCAUCAACCACGCCACUGCUGAUAGCAUUGAAGAAAAAAAACAUAUUUCAUCCUAAGAACUCAUAAAUAAUUG